This 75017-nucleotide long non-coding RNA is filed under the name Populus tremula. RNAcentral describes it as "long non-coding RNA (PTRE_LNC003176)". Lineage: Eukaryota; Viridiplantae; Streptophyta; Magnoliopsida; Malpighiales; Salicaceae. The record is from RNAcentral.
UGUAAUUGAUUGCCUGGACAUAAUACUUUUCCAUGUUCAAGUAUAAAGUUGGACGUUCGUUGUUUUCACAAGCAAGUUCAAAACUUUUGUCGCCACAGCUCUCGGGAUCGGUAUUUAGUCGAAAAGGGUAGCUAAUAUUACGGAUAUUGCCACAAGAAGAAGGAGCGCAGUUCUUUGUAGCACUGCAGCAAUGGUGGGAGGAUAGGAUCAGUAGAAAAGGGAGGGCUGCAUAUGCACCGAAGAGGUGCCUUAAUGCUCUACUGAACAUUGAGAGAGAAACUUUCUUUGGGAAACCAAUUAAUGUGCUUUGUUACACUUUGCUCACGAGAUAUAAAUAUAUUAUGAGGACAAUACUCGUCUACAGACUACGUAUACCACCUUGGAUCAAUACGAAAGGACAAUACUCGUCUACAGACUACGUCUAUAGCCACAAAUUAAAGUCUUCGAGUUAUUGUCUUGGGCCCAUUCUCAUUAAAUUUAUGGGCCCAUUCUCAUUAAUUAUAUUUUUCAAAUUUCUAAAUGAGAUGCAGACGAGCCCAUUCAAUAUUUUUGAAAAUUCCAAAAUGAGAAGACUGCCUUGAAGUUUCCUAAGUCAAUAGGAGAAAAAAAAGCAAGGAAAGAAUGUGGUGCCAUUCAAUAUUUAAAUAUAAAUAUAGUAGGAGUAAAGUAGAAAUGCAAAACUGUAUAAAAACCACGUCGUUUUGCAAAACUCUAAGUGAAAACGACUACGUUUCUUUUUUUAAAAGGGUUACAAUCUGACACGUUGUCUUUAGCCUUUGGAAAUGAAAAUUCACAAUAUUUUUUUUUUUCAUAAAUAUAUUCUUUGUUUUGUUUGAAGGCAGGAGUAUUUGAAAAUUCACAAGAUUAUAGAUUUAACACAAACAAAUCUAUUUUUUCUACAUAAAUUGAAAAUCUGAAAGGCUCAGCCGAUUUUUGGAAAGUAUUAUUUUUUCAUGAAAUUUUCUAAUUUUUAACAAUUGAGUAUUUUAGGAAUUUUUUAUUUUCUUAAAUUUUUUCAUUAUUUUUUAAAAUAUUAAUAAAUUAUGUGGUCUUGAGAAUAUAUUGAUCCUCUCAUUAUUAGACUACAUGUCUAUUAAAUAUUGAAUAAUAUUUUUUUAAUUUUUUUAUUUAAAAAUACAUUAAAAUAAUAUCGUGCAUCUAUAAUUUUAAUACCAGUGUAUGUUAAAAUUAAAAAAAAAUUAACAAAAUAAAUUAUAACAUUUCGUGUGAAAACUUUAGGUUAAGUCCUAUGUACAUAUAACUAUUAAGCAAUUAAAUUAAGAUCCAACUUAAAGUUAAUAUAUUUAAAAUAAAAUAAUUAACUUAAAUUUUAUUUUUAAAAUGUUUAAUGUCAUCAACUAAUUAAUUAAUUAAAUUUUAAUAAAGUAUUAAUUAUAUAUAAAACAAAAAUAAGUACUUACUUAAUUUUAAGUAUUUAAAUUUAUUUUUUAUCUUUUUUUUAAGCUUAAAUAAUAAUUAAUACAUUAUUAAAAUUAAUAAUCACUAAGCUAUAUUAUCUUCAUCAUCUCAUGAUCAACGACCAAACUGAUAUGAAGAGUCAAUACAAUCAUUUGGUGGAUCUGAUAACUUUGCAUGAUUAGCUUUAUCAUCUUCUUCUGGCAUCUGAUGUGGGGUAAGAAAAGGCUUAGGAGGCAUUCGUAGGGAUUCAGCAUCCGAUUCAAUCAUCUCUACAACUUUAUGCAUUGAAGGACGAUCAAUAGGCUUCAACUGUAUGCACCACAAUGCCACAAUAAUCAUCUUCUUCGUAGUUUUCUUUUCAUGUUCCGUGGCAUCUUCUUGUACUUCUAUGUCCUUGCCUGCACUAACUUGGUCAUAAGCCCAUGAAGGAAAGUAAAUUUGGCUUGAAUGAUUUGCCAAUACAUUUAGGUUCUUCCUUCUUCCUACCAUUUCAAUCAAUAACAUCCCAAAACUAUAGACAUCUGCUUUGUAAGAGACACCUCCAAUAUUUUUAUAAAAUAGUUCAGGAGCCAUGUAUCUGAUUGUUCCUCUAGCGGCAGUAAGGGGCACAGUGUUAUUAUUUGUUAGGUACAAUUUGGCUAGUCCAAAAUCUGAGAUUUUCGGAACAAACUUAUCAUUAAGAAGAAUGUUAUGAGGCUUGAUAUCAAAAUGAAAGAUUUGUAUAUCACAACCUUGAUGUAGAUAUUCAAUGCCACGAGCCACUCCAAGAGAAAUCUCAUACAUUUUCUCAUUGCUUAGUGGGACGCUACCUUCCCUAGAAAAAAUGUACUUUUCAAGAGACCCAUUAGGCAUGAACUCAUAUAUAAGAGCACGCUUCGAUCCCUCAACAGUGAAGCCUAUAAGUUGCACGACAUUGACAUGGUGAAUUCUUCCAAUUGUGGCAACUUCGUUGAUAAAAGCUUGUCCAUUGGCUUUUGACUUGCCCAAUAUUUUAACCGCCGCAAAACGACCACUACGAAGCUUUCCCUUAUACACUAAGCCAAAGCCUCCUUCACCCAACUUGUCUUUAAAUCCGUUGGUUAUCUUCUUAAUCUCUGAGUAAGUGUACCUUAUCAGCAUGAGAUUAUUAUCAUGACUUUGCAAGAAUUUUUCAAUGUCUUCGUACAUGGAUAAAUGUCGUCUUCGCCAUUUAUAGAUCAGUAAAGUUAGGAGACAUGGAAGCCCGCAUGGGAGCAGUAGAACAUGAUAUGUCACUGUAUAAAGACAUUUGAAACAUAUAAAAACAUUUUACAAAUGCUUCAUUGAUUUCAGUCACGAGUAUAUGUGUGAUUAAUUUUUCAUUCUAAUUCUCCAAUUUCAAAAUUCGAUAGUCAUGCCUCUCAACACUCUAAUAUGGUACAAACAAUAAAGGAAACUAUAAAAGCUUUAUAUAUAUUAUCAUGCUAGGCACAUAGAAAAGCGGAUAACAUAAAAAAAAAACCUGAUUGUUUUUAUAAAAUAAGAUCAUUAACUAAAAAAAAAAAGUGUUAUCCUAAAGAAAAAGUAAAUACUUUCAAAAUACUCUGUGUUUAAUUACAACAUUUUCCAUCUAAUGCUUUAAAAUUAUUGUUUAUAAUUGAAAAAAAAAGUAGAAAGAAUAGAUGCAUUAAUUUGAUGCAAAAAUAAUAUAAAUUUAACCUAAAGUUAAAACUUGAAAUAGUAGGGAGUCAUUAGAAAUAUUUAAAUUUUAAGGAUUUAAUUUUUACAACUAAAUAAAUUUAAUGAAAAUAAGUAGAAGCUACUGGAUACAACCACAAUGAAAAUAAUAUAUAUUUAUUGUUUCACAAUAAGCUGAUAAAAGAAAAAUAAAAUACUUACCAAUAAGGACAAGUGUCACAGUGGAAAACAAUAUAAGAAAGCUUAGUACAAUUGAAGGGGUGGUCGUCCGAUUAUAACAAUAAUCUGCCAAAUAAAUAAAAAAUAAAAAAAUAAAAAAUGAUGAAUGAUUUAAUUAUCAUUCAUGUAGUUAUUUGACUAUAAGGGAGAAUCAAUUCAUUCAAAUUAAAAGCAUUAUAAAUUAUAAAAUAAUAGAAAGAUAAGAGACAGUCUAUUAGAUAUAAGAAGAUUAGAAGUGAUAUCUUAUUUCUUAUUUCCAUCAAGAAGAUUAAAUUAUUUUAAAAGGGUUGUAUUUUAUCAAAAUCUAAGAGUUUAGCUACCGAAAAAACUUCUAUUGCUAUGGGUAACUUGAAGGCGAACAUUGAUAUGUACGUCAUUGAAACUUGGAUUGAAAAAAAAAAACAUUUUAGGGUCUUUUAUUUAUUUUAUUAGAAAAAUAAAUAUUAGUACUCUUUCUGUAAAAUGAUAUAAUUACACAAAAUAAAUUAACUCACCCACAUUAGUUCGACACAAUAUCCAGUCGAUACCUAUAAUCACCAAGAAAAUAUGAAUCAGCGUGCAAAAUCUUGAUAAUUAAUUAAAAGGUAAAAAAAACAAAAACACUCAUUCGCGAAGAAAAUGCGGAGUAAAUGUAUCGUUUUGUAGAACAUGUAAGACCAUAAUAGUCCUCACCUUCAACAAAAAGGUAUACCAGCUUCCCUCCGGUAAAAUUCGCUACUGCAUUUCAAGAAAAAAGAAAAGGUCAACAGUAUUGAUAUUUACAAACUUAUAAUUUUAACUGAAGUGAAGAACAUUUAUUAAAAUAUAAAAUAAACCCUUAACACAUAAACGGAAACCAAGCAAUAUUGGAGCAUUUCAAUAGAUUAUCAUAAUUGAAAGACUUUACUUUCAGAAGAUUUCUAGUAACUUGAAAGAUCACCUUGUUUCUGAAAAUUGGAAGCUGUGUCAUUCAGACAUGUAGAUUUAAACCCUUAACACAUAAAAUAAAGCAAAUAUUGUAUGCAUAUUCAUAACACAGUACCUGAGGUAAGCUGAUACAUAUGGGGAGAGAGAGAGAGAGAGAGUACGUACUGUAUUGUUCUGAGAAACCGUUAUAUUGUAAACAAUAGUUGUUCUUCAUGGUGGCUUCAUCAAGGUUGCAGCGGUUCUCUGUGAUAUGACAACAGAAAGGGAACCAUGAAAGCUCGAACCCAUAUACCAAAACAUCAUGGACAUCUGUAUACGUCAUAUUUCUCAUAUAUUCUGGCACAGGAUAAAUCAAAUUUAUACGGCACAAGUCAGGUACAUCCUGGACGUUCCCAUCAACCAUGACAUAGGAAUGACCUUCCAUAUCGACACAGCUGGGAGAAGAAAUACUGCCAUUUUUGCAAGAAGAAGCAUCCAUAACAUAACCUGAAAUGUCUGGCCAAUUUAGCAUUUGAUUCUUGCAGCAUAAAAAAGUUAACACAUAAAUGUCUGGCCAAUUUAUAUCAUAAUAAUAAUUGCCGUCCACAUAAGAGCGGAGCAAAGAAAUGUCUUCCAUAUCUUUUGUAAGAGAAUGAUGAGGGAUGGAGAAGCAAUCAUCCUUCUGAACAGAAGCAUCCACAAGUCGAAUUGUGAAGUUACUGUAAUUGAUUGCCUGGACAUAAUACUUUUCCAUGUCCAAGUAUAAAGUUGGACGUAAGUUGUUUUCACAAGCAAGUUCAUGACUUUUUUCGCCACAGCUCUCGGGAUCGGUAUUUAGUCGAAAAGGGUAGCUAAUAUUACGGAUAUUGCCACAAGAAGAAGGAGCGCAGUUCUUUGUAGCACUGCAGCAAUGGUGGGAGGAUAGGAUCAGUAGAAAAGGGAGGGCUGCAUAUGCACCGAAGAGGUGCCUUAAUGCUCUACUGAACAUUGAGAGAGAAACUUUCUUUGGGAAACCAAUUAAUGUGCUUUGUUACACUUUGCUCACGAGAUAUAAAUAUAUUAUGAGGACAAUACUCGUCUACAGACUACGUAUACCACCUUGGAUCAAUACGAAAGGAAAUCAAUCAAUAGCCACAAAUUAAAGUCUUCGAGUUAUUGUCUUGGGCCCAUUCUCAUUAAUUAUACUUUUCAAAUUUCUAAAUGAGAUACAGACGAGCCCAUUCAAUAUUUUUGAAAAUUCCAAAAUGAGAAGACUGCCUUGAAGUUUCCUAAGUCAAUAGGAGAAAAAAAGCAAGGAAAGAAUGUGGUGCCAUUCAAUAUUUAAAUAUAAAUAUAGUAGGAGUAAAGUAGAAAUGCAAGAAUGUAUAAAAACCACGUCGUUUGCAAAACUCUAAGUGAAAACGACUGCGUUUCUUUUUUUAAAGGGGUUACAAUAUAAAACGCUGCCUUUAGCAUUUGAAAAUGAAAAUUCACUAUAUAUAUAUUUUUCAUAAAUAUAUUCUUUGUUUUGUUUGAAGACAGGAGUAUUUGAAAAUUCACAAGAUUAUAGAUUUAACACAAACAAAUCUAUUUUUUCUACAUAAAAUGAAAAUCUGAAAUGCUUAGCCGAUUUUUGGAAAGUAUUAUUUUUUCAUGAAAUUUUUUAAUUUUUAACAAUUGAGUAUUUUAGGAAUUAUUUAUUUCUUAAAUUUUUUCAUUAUUUUUUUAAAUAUUAAUAAAUUAUGUGGUCUUGAGAAUGUAUUGAUCCUCUCAUUACUAGUAUUGUGGUGAAUAAUAUUUUUUUAAUUUAUUUAUUUAAAAAUACAUUAAAAUAAUAUCAUACAUCUAUAAUUUUAAUGUCAGUGUACGCUAAAUUAAAAAAUAAAAUUAACAAAAUAAAUUAUAACAUUUCGUGUGAAAACUUUAGGUUAAGUCCUAUGUACAUAUAACUAUUAAACAAUUAAAUUAACAUCCAACUUCAAGUUAAUAAAUUUAAAAUAAAAUAAUUAACUUAAAGUUUAUUUUUAAAAUAUUUAAUUAAUGUCAUGAAGUAAUCAAGUAAUUGAAUUUUAAUAAAGUAUUAUAUAUAGAACAAAAAUUAUGUACUUCAAUUUAAAUAUUUAAAAUUAUUUUCAACUUUUUAAAAAAAAUAUAUAUAUCAGGAGAAUAAUAUAAAAUUAUGAAGGGAAAGACCUCUUUGUGGCCUCCGCUUUCAAAGUCAAUAGAAAACAACACAACCAAUUAAAACAACACAACCGCGGAUCAACCAAUUAAGUAAUUGAAUUUUAAUAAAGUUUUAUAUAUAAAGCAGAAAUUAUCCCACCGAAAGAAGGGGAGGGCCUCAAGAUGGCCUACACUUCCAUAGUCAAGCUCGUCUCAUUGAGUACUUGGAGAAUUAUGCACACAAAUGUAAGGAGUCUUCGCUUGAAGUUUCCAAGUCUUCUCUUAGAUAAAGGUUACGACAUAAAGUCCUUUCUUUUCUUUAACGCGGAGUUGCUGACGCAACAAACUAUGGCCCCGUCGGUUGUUUUACAGAGGAAAACACUAUCUAAAUUUCUCAAUGAUCGUCGAUGAAAAAUAUGUUUGAGUUAUAAAAAUAAACUUGUUUUUGGUUUUAUAAUUUUUGGCUAAAUAUAUUUUCUAGAAGUUACAAAUAAAAACAGAAUUUGUUAAACGAAUGUCUAGAGGCUGUUUCAUCAUUUGAUCUUUUUUUUUUUAAUUAUAAAGUAUAUUUAUUUAGAGGCAUUUUGGUAUUUUUAAUAAAUAUAAAAUAUUAUUUUUAAAAAUAUUAUUAUUCUUUUAUUUUUUUAAUAAUUUUUUUAAUUUACCAAUUUGUUAUUAUUUUUUAAUUAUAAUUUAUUUUAUUUCAAAAAUAAUUUAUAAUUUGUUUUUAUAUAUAUCUUAAAUGAUGGAACUCUUGGUUGCUGAUAUCGUUCAGUGAAGAAAAAGUGGAGCUGAUGGUCACUUUGGGUUGUUAGUUUCAUUGGCGAUGUGAGUGGUAUGAUUGUCGGUAUGAUUGUCUUGAAAGAUUGAAGAUUUUUUUAAAUGAUAGUAUUUAUUUUUUAAAGUAUUUAUUGUUUAAAAAUAUAUUAAAAUAUUUUUUAAUAAAAAAUAAUUUUAAUAUUAUCAUAUUAAAAUAAUAAAAAAUUUAAAAAAUUAAUUUUUUUAAAACACUAUUUAGAACACAAUUUCAAAACAGAUGAAAGUAUUAGAGGAGUCAGUCUCCAAAAUUCACUUCACGUCAUUUUCGAAGGGAGAUUCCACUCUGAUUUGCAAUCACCUCCACUUCAUUUGUUAGAAUGAGCUGUCAAACACGAUCGAUUAAUCAAAUUGUGCUGCACCGUGGGAGCACCACCGAGGUUUGCUCCCUCUGUGGUCUCAGGUUCUUCUAUGGUUAUUAAUUUCAAGAUCCGUAAAAUUAAUAGAGGUACCCGCAAGCUGAUCCGAACACUCACUUUAAACUAAAAAAAAAAAAAUUAUGCUGCACCAACUUGGUUGGUCAAACAUGUACAACAUAAUCAACAUUGUGCUAGAGGAAGGGGUUAUAAAUUUAUUGUGUUUCUGGCAGUGUUUUUAAAAUUGGCAUGGUGAUUGACAGUUUAAAACCAGGUCACGGGUGAUUUUAUUCAUUUGAGUGUGUGUUAAUAUAAGACAUUUACUCUCUUGUGUUUGUUAAAUUUUAUUUAUUCAAAUAUUUUUUUAUUUAAUCAAACUAUAAUAGAUCAUACAUUAUUUUCUUUGUUUUUCUCCUCUGCUUCUCCCCUGUUCCUUUCUGCUUCCUCUCUCUGUUUUUUUUUUUUUUUCCUGCUCUAUUUUUCUUCCUUUCUUUCUCCUCUUUCUUAUUUUUUUUUCAUGUUCUUUCUGUUUCUCUGAUACAAAAGAAACUUUUAAAAUAUCUUCUUUAUAAUUCAAUUAAAAGCGAGUUUUGUACAAUAAUCUUUAAAAAUAAAAAUAAUAAUUAAAAAGAAGAGAAAAAAAUGAUAGCAGAUAAUAUUGGGUGUACAUUGUUUUCACAAUUAAAUUUACAUUUUUUUUGUAGCUAAUAUUAUGGAUAUUGUCACCGGAGCGCAAUAAUUGUUGCUCUUUCUAGCUCUGCAAGCAUGGUUUAUACGAUGUGUUUUCGAGAAGAAUAAUUAUGCAAAGAUUAUUAAAGGUUUGUUUAUUUUUAUUUUUUAAAAAUAAUUUUUUUAUUUUAAAUUAGUUUUUUUUAUGUUUUGAGAUUAUUUUAAUAUACUAAUAUUAAAAAUAAUUUUUAAAAAAUAAAAAAAAUGGUAUUUUAAUAUAUUUAAAAAAACACAUUAAAAAAUUAACAAAAAUGAAAUAAAUGACAACAAAAAAUUGAAGUCAUUAUUUAAUGGUCACUCACUUGUUGAUAACAUCAAUUAAGUUAAUACACACACAGAAAUUGUAAACCAUAAAGAUGAAGAAAGUAUCACCGAUUUGAAUAGAAAAAUGGAAGAACAUUUCAAUUCAAAUAAUUUGUCUUAAGAAUUAUAAUGUCACUACUUCAAUUGAUAAAGUUGGGUCAAUCCUGCUUGUAAACAAGAAAUUCUCUAGAUUACAAAUACCAUCUUGGAUCCCUACGAAAAGAAAUCAAUGGCCACAAACUAAAGUCUUCUAAUUAUUGCUUGGUCGCUCUCUAGCUCAAUGAUUAAGAUUUAGGAAAUUGCAUGAAAAGUUCCCACCGAUGAAGGGGAAGACCUCUUUUCCAAAGUCAAUAGAAAACAACACAACCGCGGAACAACCAAUUAAGUAAUUGAAUUUUAAUAAAGUUUUAUAUAUAAAGCAGAAAUUAUCUACUUAGUUAAUUUUAAAUACUUUAAAUUAUUUUUAUCUUUUAAAUAAAUAAAAAUCAGCAUAAUAUUGCAAAAUAAUCCUAAAACCCAUCCAAAAGUUCAACUACUAUUGCAAAAGUGAGGUUGCAACAUUUUGUUUGGCUUCCACGUAGUAUUUGCGGUACCAUAUACAAUUGAAGCACUUUUACAAGAAAUUUGCAUAAUCUUUAAUGGAGGUUGCAUUUCUAAAUUAAUUUGGAAUGAUGGUACCGUUCCUUUGGUUUAGAUUUGUAAUAUCAUAUUAUAAACAUGAAAAGCAAGCGUCAACAAAAAAACGCAUUUAUUUUCACAGAUGUAAUUAUUCAAAAAAGAUAUUAAUUUAUCAUAAAAAAUGUAACCUUAUUUGAAAUAUAAAACAUAACCAUCUUGGAUCAAAGACUUGCAGGAGAUAUUGCAUGGUCCAAGUCAAUGGCAAGAAGAGUUUUUCCCACCGAAAGAAGGGGAGGACCUCAAGAUGGCCUACACUUCCAUAGUCAAGCUCGUCUCAGUGAAUACUUGGAGAAUUAUGCACACAAAUGGAAGGAGUCUUCGCUUGAAGUUUCCAAGUUUUCUUUAACGCGGAGUUGCUGACGCAACAAACUAUGGCCCCGUCGGUUGUUUUACGGAGGAAAACACUAUCUAUAUUUAUCAAUGAUCGUCGAUGAAAAAUAUGUUUGAGUUAAAAAAAAUCUUGUUUUCGGUUUUAUAAUUUUUGGCUAAAUAUAUUCUCUAGAAGUUACAAAUAAAAACAGAAUUUGUUAAACGAAUGUCUAGAGGCUGUUUCAUCCUUUUUAUUUUUUUUUAAUUAUAAAGUAUAUUUAUUUAGAGGCAAUUUGGUAUUUUAAUAAAUAUAAAAUAUUAUUUUUUAAAAUAUUAUUAUUCUUUUAUUUUUUUAAUAAUUUUUUUUUAUUUACUAAUUUGUUAUUAUUUUUUAAUUAUAAUUUAUUUUAUUUCAAAAAUAAUUUAUAAUUUUAUAUAUAUAUAUAUAUAUAUAUAUAUAUAUAUAUAUCUUAAAUGAUGGAACUCUUGGUUGCUGAUAUAGUUCAGUGAAGAAAAAGUGGAGCUGAUGGUCACUUUGGGUUGUUAGUUUCAUUGGCGAUGUGAGUGGUAUGUUUGUCGGUAUGAUCAGGGGCGGAGCAAGAACAAAUAAUUAGGGGGCCGUGACAUUUCCUUGCAUAUUUUCGAUGCUCUUCACGUUAUUAAAAUUAUAAAUAUUUAUAAGAAAAAGGCUGGAAAAUAUGGAAAAACAUUUCCUUGCAAGGAUCGGAGCCCCUGCCAGCCUCCCUCUGCCUCCGCCAUUGGGUAUGAUUGUCUUGAAAGAUUGAAGAUUUUUUUAAAUGAUAGUAUUUGUUUUGUAAAGUAUUUAUUGUUUAAAAAUAUAUUAAAAUAUUUUUUUAAUAAAAAAUAAUUUUAAUAUUAUCAUAUUAAAAUAAUAAAAAAUUUUAAAAAUUAAUUAUUUUUAAAACACUAUUUAGAAUACAAUUUCAAAACAGAUGAAAGCAUUAGAGGAGUCAGUCUCCAAAAUUCACUUCACGUGAUUUUCGAAGGGAGAUUCCACUCUGAUUUGCAAAGCCUAAAGGAUCGCAAUCACCUCCACUUCAUUUGUGAAAAUGAGCUGUCAAACAUGCACCAACUGUAUUAAUCAAAUUGUGCUGCACCGACUUGGUUUUUGAUACGGUUUUGUUGGGUCAAUUUAGGAUCAGCUGGGUUUUUAACUAUUUUUAUUUUUUAAUAAGCUAGGUUUGGUUCUGGUUUCGGGUCAGCUAGGUCCUGGAUUAAUCAUCUAAACCGGAUUUUAAAACUAUAAUUUGUGGUUGUGUGGUUGUGAAAUUGUAUUUUUCAAAUUUUAAAGUUUUUAUAUUUUAAAUUAUUUAUUUUUUUGUUUUUCAAAUAUUUUUUAUAUGUAGAUAUUAAAUAUAAAUUUUUAAAAAUAUAUAUAUUAUUUUAAUAUAUUUUUAAAUAAAAAUAUUUUAAAAAUUCUUAUGUUGUUCGAGACCAUCAGAGAAGAAAAUGUAUAUACAACAUUUUUUCACUCUAGUACUACAUUUUCCACAUAGACAGAUCUACCUUCCAUAUUAAUACUUACUCCUCGCAUUUUUUAUUGUUUCUCCUUUGUUCAUCUCCAUAAAAAUCAAAGCAUGAAACUUGACCCAUAUGUUUUUCGUCUUUCAUUAUUUUUUUAUAUUGGAUAUAUAUGUAACAGGCCGAAAAAGAGAUUGCAGAAGACCACGUAAAAGACCUCUUGGGGUAAUACACUUUGCUUCAUCUCCUAAUAUUCCAGAUUGUUUUAUUGGAUAUAAAUUACCUUUCAGUCAUAAUCAAGAAAAAUAAUCAAAUCGAAGUUCUCUAGAAUACAGAGCAAGAAAAUCAAAGUAUUAUCUCAGAAGCUGGCAAAACUUUUGUACACCAACUUUCAUCCAUACAGGUCCCUUACAAACUACGUACAGGGAGCUCUUCCAAAACCAGAGUGGACUCAAGCUAUAAUUAUAGAAAUGAAGGCAUUGCAGAAAAACCAAGCAUGGAGUCUUGUUCCCCUACCCAACUCAGAUGAAAGAAAACUAUCAGGCAAAUGGGAUCACUGAAAGAUACAAACCUAGACAUGUAGAAACAAAUAUGCUAAAACAUAGCGAAGUUGGAAAUAAAAUUUAGAUUCUAAUAUCUCUAACAACAAAUUUGGGUUGGUCAUUACGUUAGUUUGAUUAAAAAAUGUUUUUCUUCAAAAAGAUCUUAAAGGGAGGAGUUUACAUGAAGAUACACUAUAGGCUCACAAACUGAAGUAGCAUGCAAGUUGAAGAAGGAUCUAUAUAGAGAAAGAAACAUAGAUCAUACAUUAUUUCUUAGAUAUAGAAAAAGAAAGGUAACAACUUCGAUAAAAUAAGUUGGUGAUACAAUAAUUACAAACAAUGAUGCAGAAGAAAUUCAAAUACUUGGAGAAAAUAUAUGACAGCUAAGUUUGAAAUAAAGAACCUUGAAGGGAUAAAAUACUUCCUAGGCAAUGAGAUGGCUAGAUUAGCCAGAGGUAUUCUCUUAUCUCAAAGAAAGUAUAUGUUCAAGAAGAUUCUUAGACGCUUGAAAUCAAUUUCUGGUAAGGGUAUCAUGCAUGUUCUCAGAAUAAUAUAGAAGCAUCAUCGAAUAGGAAUUUUCUUAAAGAUUAUCCUCAAAUUCAUUUAUACGUAAAUUCGUUAAAAACUAUUAUUUGUUUCAAAAUCCAAUAUUUUUUUUGUCUUUUAAGGACAGUGAUAAAUCACUAUAUAUAAUGGUGAGUGGUGGCAUGGACCUUAUUCAAUUAAUGUUAGAAUUUUUAGACAAAUGUAGCAUAAGCACGGAAUCCUUCAGCAACAAUGUAGAUUUGGUCAUGAAAGGAUAAGCUUAAAUAGUUGAUACACUAUCAAAAUUAAUAACCAUUAAACUAUAUUAUCUUCAUCUUCUCAUCAUCAACGACCAAACUGAUAUAAAAAGUCAAUACAAUCAUUUGGUAGAUUUUAUAACUUUGCAUGAUUAGCUUUAUCAUCUUCUUCUGGCAUGUAAUAAGGUGUGAGAAAAGGCUUCGGAGUCAUUCGUAGGGAUUCAACAUCCGAUUCAAGCAUCUCUACAACUUUAUGCAUUGAGGGACGAUCAAUAGGCUUCAACUGUAUACACCACAAUGCCACAAUAAUAAUCUUUUUUGUUGUUUUCUUUUCAUGUUCCAUGGCAUCAGGGGCGGAGCAAGGAAAAAAAUUUAGGGAGGGCCAAUUUAUAAUUUAAGGGCGGCAAGAAGUUGUGUUAAUUAAAUUUAUAAAUAUAUAUAAAGGGAGGGGCAUUUGCUUGCAGGGGCCGGGGCCCCUGCCAGCCCCCCCCCUCCCUCCGCCACUACAUGGCAUCUUCUUGUACUUUUAUGUUCUUUCCUUCACUAACUUGGUCAUAAACCCAUGAUGGAAAGUAAAUUUGGCUUGAAUGAUUUGCGAAUGCAUUCAAGUUCUUUCUUCUUCCAACCAUUUCCAUCAAUAACAUCCCGUAACUAUAGACAUCGGCUUUGUAAGAGACACCUCCAAUAUUCUUAUAACAUAGUUCGGGAGCCAUAUAUUCCAUUGUCCCUCUGGCAGCUGUGAGGGGCACAAUGUUAUUAUUUGUUGGGUACAAUUUGGCUAGUCCAAAAUCUGAAACUUUUGGAACAAACUUAUCAUUAAGAAGAAUGUUGUGAGGCUUGAUAUCAAAAUGUUAAAUUUGCAUUUCACAACCUUGAUGUAGAUAUUCAAUGCCACGAGCCAUCCCAAGAGCAAUCUCAUACAUUUCUCAUUGCUUAGUGGGAACAUUACCUUGCCUAGAAAAAAUGUACUUUUCAAGAGACCCAUUAGGCAUGAACUCGUAUAUAAAAGCACGCUUCGAUCCCUCAACAGUGUAGCCUAUAAGUUGCACGAUAUUGACAUGGUGAAUUCUUCCAAUUGUGGCAACUUCGUUGAUAAAAUCUUGUCCAUUAGCUUUUGACUUGCCCAAAUUUAACUGCUGCAAAACGACCACUACGAAGCUUUCCCUUAUACACUGAGCCAAAUCCCCCUUCCACCCAACUUAUCUUUAAAUCCAUUGGUUAUUUUUUUAAUAUCUAAGUGUACCUUAUCGGCAUGAGAUCAUUAUCAUGACUUUGCAAGAAUUUUUCAAUGUCUUCGUACAUGGAUAAAUGUCGUUUCACCAUUUAUAAAUCAGUAAAGUUAGGAGACAUGGAAGCCCACAUGGAAACAGUAGCAUAUGAUAUAUCACUGUAUAGAGACAUUUGAAACAUGUCAAAACAUUUUACAAAUGCUUUAUUGAUUAUAGUCAUGAGUAUAUAUGUGUGAUUAAUUUUUCAUUCUAAUUCUCUAAUUUUAAAAUCUGAUCCUCGUGCCUCUCAACACUUUAAUAUAUACCUCAUGAAAUUGAAAACAAAACAGUAUCCAUGCAUGUCUAUGAUAAAUAAAGGGAACUAUAAAUAAAUCAGAUUGUUUUUAUAAAAUAAGAUCAUUAACUGAAAAAUAAAAUAGAAAAGCAUUUAUCCUAAGAAAAAAAGUAAAUACUUUCAAAAUAUUAUGUGUUUGAUUAGAACAUUUUCCUUCUAUUGCUUUAAAAUCAUUGUUUAUAAUUGAAAACAAAAGUAGAAAGAAUAUUAGAUACAUUAAUUUGAUGCAAAAAUAAUGUAAAUUUAACCUAAGGUUAAAACUUGAAAUCAGAAAUAUAUAUUUAAAUUUCGAGGACUUAUUUUCUACAACUAAAUAAAUUGAAUGAAAAUAAAUAGAAGCUAAUGGAUACAACCACAAUCAAAAUAAGUCAUGAACAAUAAUUAUUUCUUAAGCUGUAAUUGUUGGGUACUGAUAUAUAUAUAUAUAUAUAUAUAUAUAUAUAUAUAUAUAUUUACUGUUUCACAAUAAGCUGAUAAAAGCAGAGUCAAAUACUUACCGAUAAGGGGAAGUAUCACAGUGGGCCGGAAAGAGUAUGAGAAAGCUUCGUAAAACUGAAGGGGUGGUCAUCCGGUAAUAACAAUAAGAAGCUGCCAAAUAAAAACACAACCAAAAAAUAAAUAAAUAAAAAAUGAUGAAUGAUUUAUCAUUCAUGUAGUUAUUUGACUAUAAGGGAGAAAAUGAUUGAGAAUCAAUUCAUUCAAAUUAAAAGCAUUAAAUAAUAGAAAGAUGAGAGAAAAUCUAACUAAAUUGGAACGACUGAAAAUUAUAACUAAGAUAUAUAAUAGAAAUUAAAACAAUAUGCCGCUUGGUUCUUCUUCCUCCCCGCCUACACUAUGACUGCCUUUCUUACGGGCUUGUUGUCACUAGCAAUUUUUAUGUGUUCUUCUUCAAUUUUUAUGCCUUUCUUAUGGGUUUGCGGGAGAAUUUAAAGACUUGGUCAACAGCCUCUCAACCAAGGUUAAAGCCACUAACUUGUAUAUUCAUUUUCUCACUCAUGAAUACCUUCACAAGAGUUCUCUUCAGCCUAUUGGUGGUUCCCACGCAACAGCACCACUACUACCUGCUACCUCCAACACCACUUCGGCUUUUUUUGUUCAACGUCAGUCUCAUGGUCAAUCUGCAGGUUCCUAUUCCAGCUGUUCUCACCGUGGUUCUAGUGGCACAUUUCGUGGUGGUUGGAGGAACAACACCCAUAACAGUUGCAACAAUCAUUUCCGUGGGAAUGGUGAUGCUUUCCGAGUCAAUAAUAAUUUUGGUUUCGAUCAAAUAGGCAACAUGGCAGUCGAUUUUCUUCCUCAAAUAAAUGGUCCAAUAAUCGACCCAACAAAUGUCAGUUGUGUUAUGGUUUGGGCCACUUUGCUCCACAGUGUCUAUGAUUGCAACAUCACACCAGGCAAACAAAUGCAAACAUAGCAUUCAAUACUACUCAUAGGGCUACUUCAGCUACAUCUUGAUACCAGUGCUAACACCUAACCUUUUUAUUCAGAAAUGUAUAACUUAACUGAUUAGAUUCUGAAUUUAUUUUUUAAAGAUCAUCAGUUUGAAUUUCACAAACCUCGGGGCCACUAAAGGCUUACAUGAUCGUUAACUUCAGGACCCAUGAGAUUAGUUGAAGUACGCGCAAAUUAACCAAGUCACUCACAAUAAUCUAAAAAAAAUGUGUUGAAUUCAAAACUGUAUCUAAGUACUAAUCAGCUAUAUGUUGGAGAUGAUAAGAGACUUUUAUAUCGAAUGUUGCUCACUAUAUUAUCCACACACAUAAAUAUAAUUUUAUCAUUUCAAAUGUCUUACAUAUUCCUAUUAUUUGUUCAAAAAUUAUAUCUUGAAAAUAAUGUAUGUUUUAAAUUUCACUUGUUUAUGUUUUAUAUUAAGGAUCUUCAAAUUAAGUGUUUCUUUAUAAUUAGAGUAGGAAUGAUUUUUAUGUUAUCUCCAAGUCUUCCAUAAUGUUUUUACUACUUUAAGCUUUCUUGUUUACAAGUGUGUCUACCUCUACUGAUAUUUGGCAUUAUCGUCUUAAGCAUUCUAGCUCAUGAAUUUUGAGUUCAUUAAUAUCGAAUAAAAAUGUGUUUUGCACCUAAAAAUAUUUUUUAUUUUAAUUGUCAAAUAUAUGUAAAUCAUCUUGUUUGUUUUAGAAAUUACAAGUUAUAAAACCUCUGCUCCGUUUGAAUUAAUAUUUAAUAAUAUCUAGCAAUUACUUGUGUUUUUUUUUAUGCUAAUACUAAAUACAAUUGGAUAUUUCCUUUGGUUACAUUGUUAAUAUUGUACAUAACCCUAUUUAUAUAAAUAGAAACGAUUACUAGUACAAUUGUUAAGUUUUCAAAAUACUUCUUAUAUCUUAACUCUACAGUUGAAGAGAUGAUCCAAUGACAAGCAGCUACGGUUCAAGAUUUGUUGAUAGCAGCACAUGCUCUUUGCAGGAAAAAAAAUUACAACAUUGUGUACAGAAAUAUAAAGUACAAUUACUAUUUCAAUUCAUACAAGGAUCCCAAGUGCACAUAUUAUACAUACAAAGGAACAAGAGAACAAGGGCAUAGCAACUCAUUUUGAUCUUGAUCCCUAAUUAUUUGUCCCCUUAAUUAUCAUUGUGUAACAUGAAGCUCCAAAACUGUUAAUUUCAUCGACGAAAAUCCUUGGUCUUGUUCCAAGUUUCCUCUUCUUGAAAAAGUCACUGAAUGCCUCCCCUGUUACUUCCUGCACUUAAUUAAUGAUCUCAUUAAACAUUGACUCAGAACAAUGAGGUAAAACACAGUGGUCUUAGGCCAGUAUAUAUUGCUGCUUCAGAGAUUUAGGGCCAGAGAUCCAUACCAUGGAAGCUUAAAAGUGUCUUUCCACCAUUCUUGUUUUGAACAGUUGCAACAAACUUUAUCCAGUCUUGUGAUGAUCUCAGAAAAGGUUGGUCUGACAACAGGUUCUGAAUGCCAACAUUCAUCAAUCAACCUACAUGAAGAUCAAGAUGGUUCCCAAAAAAAUUAAGCUGCACUCCCUCAAGCAUCUAAGCUCAAACGAAAAACAAACAGAAGAAAAGUCCCACUUAGCACUUAAAUCCUCAAGUAAAGAACCAUGCACUGUGCAAAGAAUAGCAGUAAUACAUAUGAAGGAAACAGGAAAGUACAACCAGUUUGCCAAAUUAGAUUGCGAAGUACCUCAUACAAAAUGACUCCAAAAGAGUAUGCAUCAACGCUUCUAUCAAAUAUUUCAUCGUUAUAAAUCUCAGGCGCCAUGUAUACAUCUGGAAAGCAAUACCAUCACUUAAAUUAAAGUCAAGAACACAUUGCAGUAAUCCCUUUAAAGUUAUUCACUCAGCUGUAUAUGAUGAGAUUAAAUGAAGAGUUCUGCUCUUAAAAGGAAGCAGGAUAACAAAGUUAAAGUGUAAAAAAGACUUGCUGAUGUUUGCUACAGAACCGAUUCAUUCCUUGAAAAGAUGCAGGGUGUCGAGCCUUAUAUUUAAGGUGGAUUUUCACAAAGCUUUCGAUAUUGUCCGGUGGGAUUAUUUAGAGCAAGUUAUGAUUAGGUAUAUGGGUUUUGGUGAAAAAUGGAUUAAUUUGAUCAAAACUUGAAUGUACAUUGCAAAAUUAUUAGUGUUGAUUAAUGGAUCUCCUUCUAAGGAAUUCUUGAUGAGCCAUGGGAUUCGCCAAGGCGACCCCCUCUCUCUUUUUUUUUUUCUAAUUGCAGCUGAGGAGUUAUUUGUUUUGUUUUAGAGAGCAGCUACAACUAAUCUUUUCAAAAGUAUUUCUUUUGAAGACAACUUUUGCCUCAGUCAUCUGUAAUAUACAGAUGACACUCUGAUUUUCAUGUGGUCAAAACACUUAAAAGUGUUCUGUUGUGGUUCGCUAUUUGUUCAGAUUUGCACAUUAAUUUCCACAAAAACUCUUUAAUUGGCAUAAAUGUUGAGGAAGAUACUUGUGUUAGUAUGAUAUCUUCAGUAUUUUGCAGAUUUGUUCCUUGCCUUGCUCUUAUCUAGGCAUGCCUUUGAGAUACAAUCCUAAAAGUUUGUCUACAUGGAAACCUGUUGUUGUAACCCAUUUUUGGGUCCCCAUGAAAAAUAAAAUAAAUAGCCAAAAGAGUUUAGAAAAAAUAACAGAAGGCAGAAGCGCUCAGGAAACAGUCAGAAAAUUGGUCAAGAAAUUCAAAAAUACAAGGAUUAAAUUUUUGACAGUAUAUUCUUGAAGGAUGAAAGCCCUAUUGAGAAGGAAAAUUUGAAUUUUGAGGAGAAAAGCCCAAAUUUGGAUGUUUAUGGACUUAAUUGGAUUUUUAUGGACUUAAUUGGAUUUUUAGGGACUUAAUUGGAUUUUUAUUUGAAUUUAUGAAGAAUUUGAUUGCAAGAAAAAUUAAUUUUUAAGUCAAUUUGGGCUUUAAUUUGAAGAAAUUUAAGUUCUGGGGCCAAAAUAUAUUUUUUAGGAAUUUAUUGGGUCAAAUCAGGGGCUUAAUUGCAUAAAUAUUGAAGUUUAAGGGCCAAUUAGGGAUUUAAUUAAGAAAAUCCGAAACCAGGGACCAAAUUGGAAGAGGCGCGUAAAUGGAGGGGCUGCAAUUUUUCGGUUCAGGGGCUUAAUUGAAGAAAUUGAAAGUUUAUUGAUCAAUUAGGGGCUCAAUUGCAUAAAUCAGAGGCCAAGGACCAAAGUGAAAAAGGCGGCCAACAAGAGGGGCGGGGACCGAAUUUGGGGGAUUGAUUUGAAGUUUAGCCAUUUAAAUGAAACGGCGCGUUUUACCCAAAACGAUGCCGUUUCAUAUAUAAAAAAAAAAAAAAAAAAAAAAAAGAGGAAGAUCAGAACGGUGUCGUUUUGAACGACACUGUUCAUCUUCCUCCUUCCCCCCGUUUAACAGAACAGAAGAAGAGAAAAAUUCGAAAAUCUUCCCGCGCCUCUCUCUCUCCUCGCCCCCACCACCUUUAGAUAUUGGCCGACCAGCCGUUACACCCCAUGGUCCCCCACGGUUCUGCCCCUAUAAAUAGGGAAGAAAACCGAAAAGAAAAAGAGGGAAGAGACCCCGAGAGGAAUAGAGAGAGAGAGACCCGAAGGGAGGAGAGAGAGAGAAAACCGCCUGACCUGCCGUCCGUAAGCCAAGCUGCCACCGUCUCCGCAGCGGCACCGCCAGCAAGCCGUCGUCUCCGUCGUGCCAGGUACGCUUCCCUCCCCCCUGCACAUUUUUUUUUCUUUUUGUUUCUUAAAUUUCGUCUCCUGCAUGCAGAGGCGUUCUGCAUGCAGGGGACGGGGGGGGAAAUAAUCCCCCCCCUGCGUUUUUUAUUUCCUCUGGGCCAGACGUUGUCUGGCCCAGAACUAUGUGGACCGGGCCAGAGAGAUCAGGCCCAGUCCGGCGGUCUGGGCCGGGUCCGGCCCAGACCGAGGUUAAUUAUUUUUUGGGCCGAGUUCGGCCCAGUACCUUUUGGGCCGAGGUCGGCCCAGUACCUGUUGGGCCGAGGUCGGCCCAGUACCUGUUGGGCCGAGGUCGGCCCAGUACCUGUUGGGCCGAGAUCGGCCCAACGACUGUUGGGCUGGGUCCGGCCCAGCCCUUUUAAUAUAUAAAUAUAUUAUAAUUAAAUUAAAUUAUUAUUAUUAUUAUAUAUGUGUAUAUAUGUUAUAUAUAUAAAAAAUGUAUUUAUAUAUAUAAAAAAAAUAUUUCGAAAAAAAAAAUCUAAAAAAAAUAUUGUUGAUUUUUCUGCAUAUUUUUGUCAAAAAUGUUUUAAUUCUGGUUUGUAUUUUUAUACUGUAAAGAUACAAAACCAGUAUUAAAAUACCCGGUUUUCGUCAAAACAUCAAAGAUUUUCAGAAUAAAAAAUGUUUUUGCUUUCAAAAAAAUUCUAAAAAGUCCCUAAAAAUAUUGUUGAUUUUUCUGCAUAUUUUUAUCAAAAUGGAUUAAUAUUGGGUUGUAUUUUUAUACCGUAAGGAUACAAGCUGAGUAUUAAAAUACCUGAUUUUCGCCAAAGCAUAAAAAAAAUAAUAUUUUCCAAAAAUUGUUUUUGUUUUAAAAUACGGCCUAGUCUCUCCAAUAUAUAUACAUAAAUAUUAUAACAUCAUAUUUUCACACAACAAAGAAAAUUUUCAAAACAAUAUAUGUAUUAACAUGCAUUUUGGCUUUAAUAACCAGUUUAUUCAAGCCAUGAGAACUAGGUCAAUAUUUCAAAAAUUCUAAAAAAUCUUUUUGUUUUAUUUUAGUAUUUGGGAUUACGAAUUUAUACGUAAAACGUAUUCCUAAGUAUUAUUAAUAAAAUUUUGGUAUGGACGUUAGAACGGUUAGGAUUUUAACCCGAUAAGAUAAAAGACCUUCUUACUGAGGAGGAUUUUUCUUGAACCAUAGACAGAUCAACGACUAGGAAAACACAACAACACUUUAGUUUUUUAUCAGACAAUAAAACAAUGCAGCUUACCUUAGGUAGGGCGUAUUUGGGGUGCUAAUACCUUCCCUUUACGCAACCAGUCUCCGUACCCGAUCUCUGAGACCAGUUAGGUUCCUAGUGACCAAAAUACUAGGUGGCGACUCCAAAGAACCAAAAAUAAAAAAAAAAUCGCCAGUCGAACCCGCAAUUGAUGAAUGAGAAUUUUUUUUUGGGGUACGACACCUGUUAUUGAGAAUUUCAAAAGAAAGUUGAGCAUGUGAAGAGGUCGUAUGCUUAGUAUGUCAAAAUGUAUUUGCCUAAUAAAAAAUGUCCUGAGAUCUAUUAUAUGUCUUUUUUGUCUUAUGGCAAGGUGCGGAUCUGCAAAUCACUAGAAAGAAUACAUCACAUGAUUUUCGAAGCUUCAAGUUGAAUCAUCAUCUUCAUGCAUUUUGAUCUAGCAAAAAUCCUUUGUUUUUCUCGCAUCAAGGUUUUUUUCAGAAAUCCAUAAGCUAGUUGUUUUGUUUUGAAAGAAAUGUUGGUGGGAGAAACCACUGGUGGUGGCUUUGAAACACUCAGAGGGGAUAAAACACAACGUUUUAUUACAAAAUCCGAAGCUUACAAUAACUUAACAAUAAAAGCUUAACAAUUACACGCCCUCUCUCUCUCUUUCUCUUUCUAGUGUUCCUCUCAAUUCUCUCCACACAUAUAACAUAAGCUGGGCACUCUAUUUAUACACGAAAUCAAAACAAGAAAAUUCAACCUUCAAGUGUGAAGGCAGCUGGUGGCUGGCGGCUGGUGGCUGGUCGGUUGGUGGCUGGUCGGUGGCAGCUGGUGGUUGCCUUCCUUGACCAUCUAGAUGUUGAGUUUAAUAUUCAACAAAUCUCCCCCUUAAACUCAAUCGAGGGAUGUCAUGCCAAGCAUGAACACUUCUCCUUUCAAUGCCUUCUCUCUGCUUGUACCCUUUAUCCACUAAGUUGGCUUUCGUCUUGUAGACCCAUUUGACACCUAUUGCUUUCUUCUUUUCUGGUGGAUAAGUCAGCUUCCAGGUAUCAUUCUUCUCAAUGGCAUGUAUUUCUUCAUCCAUUGCUUUUAUCCAUUUCUUUUCUGUGACAGCUUUUGUUGUUACCCAUUUUUUGACCCACCUUUUUAAUAAAUUUUUCAAAAAAUCCAAAAAUAGUGAAAAACAACAAAAAUCCAAAAAAAAUAUGUUUUUAAUAUAUUUGCAAUGUUUUUAGCAUUUUCAACAUCUUUUAAAAAGAAUUUUAAUUUUCAAUUGUUUUUUCGAACGUGUUCGACUUUUCACGCGUCAUUUUAAAAUCGUAAUUUUUCUCAUAGAAUUGACGUUGAUUUCGCUCGUUUUUAAAAAUACAAGAAAAAAACAAGAAAAAUCAAAUUUACAAAAAAGAAAGUUGAGGGACCAAUUUGGAGGUUUGAACAAACUUUUACCUAUAAAUAUAGGUUGAAAACUAAAAAAAAAGGGGGGGGUCAUUUUUGGAAUUUUAGGGGAGGCAAACAAAGGGGAAAAACCCUAAAAAAAACAAAACUUCUUCCUCUCCCUCAGGAAAAAAAAAGAGUCGCUAGCCCCCCACCUUCAUUUUUUCUCCAACCGGCGGCCAGGCCUUUCCCCAAGGCUCAGAUUUUUCCCUUCUUCUCAGCCCUCUCACAGCCGACCCCAACAGCCCCGUCGCCGGCCUUCACCGGUUCUCUCCAUCGUCUCCCCUACCUCUCCUGGCCGCCCACAGCAGCUCCCCUUCACCGGACUCCUCGUUCCCUCACUAGACCGACCCAUCUUCUUCCCUGCUCACCGGCCACCCGGACAAGCCACGGUCGCCACAUCUUCCUCUCGGCUGCGGUCUCCCUUUUCUUCUUCUCCAUCAGCGACCAAACCAGGUCCUCCCUCCAUCCGAAGCUUCCCCCUCAGCAGCCUCUUCUUCGGCGGUUCCUUCAACAGCAACGACGAAGCAGCACCGACAGCAGCAACAUCCACAGACGCCGUCACCUUCCUCAGCCUCCAGUACUCCUUCCAAGACAGCCGCCAGAUCAGAAGAAGACCGAGAACAGUACUGCCACCGGUUGAAGAAGGAACGAACAGACGCCGACGCCGUGAAGAAGAAAGAUAACAGAAUAAUAGAUCUAAAAAACGAAAAAAUCAGAAUAGAUCUGGACAAAAAAAAAUGGAGUAAAAUCAACUGUUGUGUGUUCUCUUUUCUUGACUACAGGACGUCACCGGCGAGGAAUAGAAGAAGCUGAGCAAGACCGGCUUGUUUUCUGGUAUUUUUGUAGCGGCGCGUGGGUUCACGCGCCGCCUGCUGUCCCGGCGGCUUCACAGCACUGUUCCGGCAUGAAUAAUGGCUUCCCUGCAAUUUCUGGAGUUUAGGGACUAUUUUGUAAUGUUUAAAUUAUGUAAUGUAAUUUUUGUUUAGUUUAAUUUUUUAUAAUUUUUGUAAUGUGAUGUACAAAAAAAAAAUGUAAAAGAAAAGAAAAGAAGAGAAAGAGAAAGUGAUAAUAAAAAAAAAAAAAAAAUGUUUGUGUGUGCUUGUAAUUUUUUAUGUAUGAUAUUGAAUAAAAAAAAAAGAAUUUAAUUUAUAUGCACAAAUUCUCAAGGACAGAUAAAAAUCAUGUUGAAUUUUCCAUAAAAAUGUAGAACAUGUAUCUACAUAUAGUUUGGAAAAGUAAUAACUGAUUUAUCAAAGCCUUAGAAUUGGGCUAAAAUUUUAUUUUUUAAAUCACAUCAAGUCCACGAAGCUUGAAAGUGAAUGUGGUGUGUAUUUUUGUUUAUAAAUGUUUUUUUAUGAUAAAAUUGCAAGAAUAAAGAAGAAUUUAAUAUUCUGAUUCAAUUACGGAUAAAGAAUCAUGAACUUACAUGUAAGUUGUAUUUUCUAAAAUUCGAUGAAAGAACAGAAUUUUUAAAACUUCUUUAACACAUCAAGUCUACAAAGCAGCUUACCUUAGGUAGGGUGCGUUAGGGGUGCUAAUACCUUCCCUAACCACAACCAGUCCCUUACCCGCGAUCUCUGACAAGACCAGUACAUCAGGUUUCCUAGUAGCCCUCUAUGAAUUACUAGGUGGCGACUCCAAAGAACCAAAUCAGCAAAACAGAAUGAAAAAUCGCCAGCCGAUGCCGCGCGCCAGGAUUUUUUUGGGGUGCGAUAGCUUUAUUGAAGCUUAAUGGGUCACUAUCUGUAUGGAAACAAAACAGAGUUGUAUCUUCCAUUACCUGAGUGGUAUCGUACAACUCUUCAAGAUUUCGCAUCUUUCUUGGUCCUUCUGAUGAGGAUGCUGAUGGUGGUGUUGAUGAUGAUGCUCCUAGUGUGUUCCUCCUGUUGAAUACAGGGAAUCUGUGUACCGGACUUUGUGGUUCAGCUGCUGGUAUAAACACCGGACUUUGUGGUUCAGCUGCUGGCACAAUCAGUUCUUCUACAGAUACAAUCGGUUCUUCGACAAGUACUGUUGGUACUUCUUCACCUUCAAGGAUCAAAUCAAGAUUGAUCCAUUUGAUUGCUUCUUGAUCACCAUUCCAUGCCCAAGAUUUAUCUUCUUCAAAGAUAACAUCUCUACUCGUAAUCACCUUCUUCGUGAUGGGAUUAUACAGCCUGUAUCCCAUCCUUCUUUCACCAUAUCCGACAAAGAUGCAUUUCUCGCUCUUAUCAUCGAGCUUUCUCCUUCUUGCAUCUGGGAUCUUUGCAUAUGCCACACAACCAAAGACUCGUAGAUGAGUAACACUUGGUUUGUGACCACUCCAUGCUUCUUCUGGAGUGACUCCUUGCAAACUUCUGGUUGGGCAGCGAUUCAGUAGAUACACUGCACAUGAUACAGCUUCAGCCCAGUAUUGCUUGGGCAGCUUCUUUGCUUUGAGCAAACUUCUGGCCAUGUCAAGAAUCGUUCGAUUCUUCCUCUCGGCUACACCAUUUAGCUGUGGUGUAUAAGCUGGCGUUGUCUGAUGUCUGAUGCCUUGUUGUGUACAAUAGGCUUCAAAGUCAUUGCUGUAUAUUCUCCACCUUGAUCAGAUCUUAGUUCUGAUCGUAACCAGUUUGCUUCUCCACAAUUGCUUUAAAAUCUUUAAAACAAUUGAAUACUUCUGACUUCCUCUUCAGAAAGUAUAUCCACGUCUUUCUACUAAAAUCAUCAGUAAAAGUGAGGAAGUACCUAUUUUGUCCAGUCGACAUAGGCGUAAUUGGACCACACACAUCUGUGUGAACUAACUCUAGUGGCCUCUUUGCUCUCCAUUUGACUUCUUUGGCAAAACUGGAUCUGUGAUGUUUGCUGAGGACACAACUUUCACAGACUUCAUCUGGAUGAUCAAUGUGAGGCAAACCUUUGACCAUCUUCUUGCUUGCUAGCAUCUUCAAACUCGUGAAAUUCAGAUGUCCAAGCCUCAGGUGCCAAAGCCAUUCUUCACUGUUGGUGAUGGCACUCAAACACCUUGUUGCAUCAUACUGGAUGUUCAAAGGAAACAUCCUAUUCUUGGACAUUUUCACGUAGGCCAUUAAUCUCCUAUUGUUGUCUCUAAUUGUCAGAUGACAAUUCUCCGAGUAAAAAGUAUAGCCUCUCUCCAAAAGUUGACCUAAGCUGAUCAGGUUCUGCUUUAUGGCUGGGACAUAAUAGACAUUGGCGAUGUAGCUGGAAUCGCCAUUCUUCAACUUGACUGGGAUGCUGCCUUUACCUUUGAAUGGAACCUUUGUGGUAUCUCCAAAAGUAACUAGACCUUGCUUGGUCUCAUCUAGAUCACCAAAUAACUCUCGGUAGCCGCACAUGUGAUUGCUGGCUCCAGUAUAUAGAUACCAUAUAUUUUCUUGUUUCUCGCCAUGUUCUUGUUGGACAAGAAAUGCAGAUGCUUCUCUGUCAUCCUUCUCUGCAUAGUUGGCUUGCUCACGUAUCUCCAACGGAGCUUUACUUCUGCAUUCAGUGCUAUAGUGCCCAAAUUGAUUGCAACUAUAACAUUUGAUAUUUCUCUUGUCACGGUUAUUGUAACCGCCUCCUCUUCCUCUAGGAGUGAAUGCCUGUUGGCCUCGGCCUCCUCUGGUGGUGUUUCUACCACCUCUUCCUCUGAAGCUUGUAUUCCAAGAACCUCUUUCUUGGAAUCUCUAAAAUCCUCCUCUGGAUUGUUGACUUCCUGCUUGAGUGGUGUAUCCACUUGAUGAAGUCUCCCCUUGCUCAUAUCUGUCCUUGAGGGACAGCUUUGCUUGUAAGGCAUGCUCAAUGGCCUUAUCUUCAUUUCGCAUUACAAUCUUCUGCUCAUGAGCUUGCAAAGAACUCAUAAGCUCAUCCACUGUCAACUUGUCCACUUCCUUGGACUCUUCAAUUGCGACAACAACAAAAUCAAAUUUUGGAUCUAUGGAUCUCAAAAUUUUUCAAUAAUUCGAGAAUCGAUGAUGGCUUCUCCAUUUCUCCUCAUCUGGUUGACUAUCACCAUAAUCCUUGUGUGAUAAUCAGAAAUAGACUGAGGACUUCAUUCGCAAUAAUUCGAAUUCUCCUCUCAAAGAUUGAAGACGAAUCUUCUUGAUUCUGUCAGCACCUUUGUAUUUCUGUUGGAGAGCCUCCCAUAUAUCAUGUGAUGUUUCAGCGGAAGCUAUGAUCUCGAAUGUAUCUUCAUCAAGACCUUGAUAGAUGAUGGUCUUUGCUUUGUUGUCCUUCUUUCUGUUGACUUUAAGGCUUGCUUCUGUGCCUCUUGUAAAGCAUCUUCUCUUUCUUUGGACUCUGGUUCAUCAUAACCAGUUUGUACAAUAUCCAAACACUCUUGUGACCCAAGGAAUGCCUUCAAUCUGAUGCACCAACUAUCAUAGUUGUCUUUGGUCAGCUUCGGGAUGAGUGUAUGUGUACCUUCUGUAGUCAUUUUGCUCUUUGAAUGACUAUAUCACCUUUCUGGGAGCCGAAUUUGACCAAACGGACACUGUAGAUCGAUCCGGAAUGGUCCAAAUAGUCGGGAACCGGUCUGACUUUGUUGAAAUCGGGUCAGAAAAUGGGUGAACCGGUCAAAAAACCAAUUCUGUACGGCGGACGGUUCGCUGGGUUGAACCGGGAAUAUUCGGGGAAUAUUCCAGGGAAUAUUCCUUCGGCUCGGCUGAGGCUGGAACGCGGCUCGGCUCGGCGCGGCUCAAUAUGGUGCGCGUGUGUCUCAGUCGUCUUCAACCUCUGGAACGCGUGGCUGCGCGUGAGCGACUGUCACCGGAUAUUCAGACGGCGCGUGUGAAUCACCUCCGUCUCCGAUGAAGCUGAUUCUUGCACCAGUGAGCUCGUCUUGAGGAGCUCGACACUGUGGAAUAAUCAAAACUGGUUUUUGACAACUUUGAAAAUUCGGAUAUACCCCAAAACUCUUCUGUUUUCUGACGAACGGGGCUUUGAUACCAAUUGUUGGUGGGAGAAACCACUGGUGGUGGCUUUGAAACACUCAGAGGGGAUAAAACACAACGUUUUAUUACAAAAUCUGAAGCUUACAAUAACUUAACAAUAAAAGCUUACCAAUUACACACCCUCUCUCUCUCUUUCUCUUUCUAGUGUUCCUCUCAAUUCUCUCCACGCAUAUAACAUAAGCUGGGCACUCUAUUUAUACACGAAAUCAAAACAAGAAAAUUCAACCUUCAAGUGUGAAGGCGGCUGGCGGCUGUGGCAGUUGGUGGCUGGUCGGCGCGGCUCAAUAUGGUGCGCGUGUGUCUCAGUCGUCUUCAACCUCUGGAACGCGUGGCUGCGCGUGGGUGACUGUCACCGGAUCUUCAGACGGCGCGUGUGAAUCACCUCCGUCUCCGAUGAAGCUGAUUCUUGCACCAGUGAGCUCGUCUUGAGGAGCUCGACACUGUGGAAUAAUCAAAACUGGUUUUUGACAACUUUGAAAAUUCGGAUAUACCCCAAAACUCUUCUGUUUUCCGACGAACGGGGCUCUGAUACCAAUUGUUGGUGGGAGAAACCACUGGUGGUGGCUUUGAAACACUCAGAGGGGAUAAAACACAACGUUUUAUUACAAAAUCUGAAGCUUACAAUAACUUAACAAUAAAAGCUUAACAAUUACACGCCCUCUCUCUCUCUUUCUCUUUCUAGUGUUCCUCUCAAUUCUCUCCACACAUAUAACAUAAGCUGGGCACUGUAUUUAUACACGAAAUCAAAACAAGAAAAUUCAACCUUCAAGUGUGAAGGCGGCUGGCGGCUGUGGCAGCUGGUGGCUGGUCGGUGGCAGCUGGUGGUUGCCUUCCUUGACCAUCUAGAUGUUGAGUUUAAUAUUCAACAAGAAAAACGCGAGAAUCAAGAAAAAGAAGGUUUAGUGCAUUUGUUUUGGGUUUAGUCUGUUUUGAUUUCAAGAAAAGAAAAUGAUCACUCGUAGUUAGCAGGUUUCCUUUCCACUUUUACAGAACAAAGAAAUGUUUUUGAAUCUUAAAGCGUCCAUGAGAUAUUCUACGUGACAACCGAGGUCAAAACCGAGAGAUCGAGUUCAUCAUGUGGCUUCUUAUAGUAUACACUGUCUGCGUUUAUCACUUUACCGUCAGGAGAUUUGAAAAACCAGCUUUUUCACAGAUUUCCUUUUCACAGGCUUUCAUGAUCUGUAAAUAAAAAGCAUGGGUUGUUGUUAUUCUUUGAAAUCAUGAGAGUACAAAGGAUUUAUGCAAUGCAAAGUUUUGUCUUGGUUUAUACCUUCAAUUCAGAUUAAAGAAAUCUAAACAAAAAGAGGAAUCAUUUUGUUUGCUCAUUUCGUUACUGGAAGUCUACAUCUCAGCAGCAGAAAUUUUUAUCUUAGCUUUCUACUUGUAUUUUCCUUGUCACUGUAAAUGCUCAUAUUCACGUGUUGAAUAAUAGCUUUUCCUGUAUCAUAAUGUAUUGAAGAAGAUGAAUUUUUACAUUAAAUAAAAUUCAAGGUUUUUAAAUAUUAAUCUAGAAAUUGAAAGUUUAGAACUUUAAUUGGCAUUAUUCAAGGUUUUUAAAUAUUAAUCUAAUUUUUUUCCAUAUAUACCUUUCCUUUCAAUCUUGGGGAGGCCCCAGCCAACAUCAUGAUGUAACAACAUUUACUAUAUUUAAUUUUAUUUAUUAAAGUCUACUUGUAAAAAAGCCAUUGCAAUUCUAUAAAUAAAAAAGGAAGAAAACUUAACAAUACUGUAUAUGAAAACAACAUAAAAAAAACCUAGAAUUAUUAUUAAUUUUCUAAAAAACCGUUUAUCUUAUUAAUUAAACUAACAAAAUGUAGAAAAUCUAAUAAACCACAUACUCCUUCUCUCUACUUGAUCAUAAUCAGCAUGAAACUAAACGCUACAGAUCCAACAUGAAACACCACUUCAUUUCACUUGACUAAAAGGCCCCCUAAUCUUCUAUCUAAAUCAAUAUUUUUCUGUCUUAAUUCAAAUUUUUACUCUUAAUUUUGAUUUAAAAAAAAAACUACAAAAAUAAAUAAAAAUACAAAAUUUCUAAAAAUAUGUAUUUUUAACAUAAUUCAGAUCAUUUUGGAUCAUUUCAUAAUUUUCAGUCAUUUUAUUUCUCGUAUUUGUGUUUAUGAUUUUUCAAUAGUAACAAAUUCAAGAGAAUUAAAAAAAAAAAAAAAUCACAAACAGAAGAAGAAAAAAAUUUAAUAAGCAUAAUGAUAAUAAAAUAAGAAUUAAAGGACAAAAAAAUCAAUAAAAAUAUUCUUUGAAUAAAAACUAAAAAAUUAGAAUAUUUCUAAAUAAUAUAGUAUAAAUAGUAGAGAUAUUUUCAAGAGAAAAGAGAAAAGAAGGUGCAAAAAGACCCUAGUCACCGUUGGAAAGAAAAUUAAAAAAAUAGAGAGAGAGAGAGAGAGAGAGAAAGUGCGAGAAAUAAUAAGAGAAAAAAAGGAGUAAGAAAAAUUGAAAGAAGAAAAAUUAAUAGAAAAAGAAAGAAAAAUAUGAAAAGGAGAAAAAAAAUAGAAGAAAAAGGAACUCUUACUCUCUCUCUACCAAAGAAGAAAAAAGUAAAAACAACUCCCUACCAAGUAAGCCUCCACCAUCUCUCUAUCACCUUGAUUCUGCCCAAAGCUCCUCCACACCACACACCGAUUUGACCUAGGAGAUCUCCUCACUUCGCCUGACAAAACGCCAUCUUCUCCCAUUUUCUCGAUUACAACUUCAUUUUUGAAUUGACACCUUCUCUUCCUCAUCGGCCAUUACAGUAGCACCAAUGACAACAGUGUUCCUUGCAGAACAGACGCAUGAGCAUUAAGCAUCAGUGGCAGCAACCACUAAGCAAUGGUGAGAAGUAUAGAUCUGGACAAAGAGGAAAAAGAGAGGUGUAGACCAAAACUUUCAAGUGUCUGAUCUCUCCUCUAGAAGACAGUGAUCAUCAACACCAACAUCGAUUAACAAAGCAUAAAGUGGCGUUUAUGGCGGGUAGGUCCACAACCUAAUCAUGGCAGUUUCCCCUAGCGCGUUCUUUCACGCGCCACCACUGCCUCCUCGCUUUCCAUCAUUGUUUCAGCCUCUUUCUAUCCACCUCAUCCACUGUAGAACGUUGAUCUCAAAACCUAAAUAAUUUUUUUACAUAUUCUUGAAUUUUAUGGUGUUAUGUUUUAUGAUUUUAUAUGUAUAGUCGCUGAUAAUCUUAUGCGGGGAUUUUUUUUAUGUGUGGAAUCAUUAAUUUUAUGAUUGGAAUUUGGAAGUGUAAAUUCCAUGUGAGGAUAUGCGAGUGUUUAGUUAAGGAAAAAAAAUUAUUUCGUUAAGUAUUAUUCAACUAAAUGAUAAAAUAAAAUAAAUGGUAGUAGGAAAGAAUAUGAGAGUGGACAAUCGCCAGCAACAUCUUCUCUGCAAAGUCUGCUUGGAAAAUCUCUUUACAAGUCCUACGUAUGAGAACAGAGUCAUUUACUAGUCAUCCUUUAUCUUGCUAAAGGUCGUGUCUAUCCAAUUCUCUAAGUGCCUAGCCUCAAAGUUACAACAAGAAUUUUGAUGUCUUUUCAUUCCGAACACACUUUUGCAAUAACAUUUAUAUGUUUACUUGAUUGAAUUAUUUUUAUCUAGAGAUUGUUAGCGGAUAUACAGUUUAUGGAUAUGAUCAAUAUCGUUUAGAUACUUAAAGCUUAAAUAGUUAAUACAUUAUCAAAACUAAUAACCAUAAACUAUAUUAUCUUCAUCAUCUCAUCAUUAACGACCAAACUGAUAUGAAGAGUCAAUACAAUCAUUUGGUGGAUCCGAUAACUUUGCAUGAUUAGCUCUAUCGUCUUCUUCUGGCAUCUGAUGUGGGGUGAUAAAAGGCUUAGGAGGCAUUCGUAGGGAUUCAACAUCUGAUUCAAGCAUCUCUACAACUUUAUGCAUUGAGGGACGAUCAACAGGCUUCAACUGUAUGCACCACAAUGCCACAUAAUCAUCUUUUUCAUUGUUUUUUCUUCAUGUUCCAUGGCAUCUUCUAGUACUUCUAUGUCCUUUCUUCACUAACUUGGUCAUAAACCAUGAAGGGAAGUAAAUUUGGCUUGAAUGAUUUGCCAAUGCGUUCAAGUUCUUUCUUCUUCCUACCAUUUCCAUCAAUAACAUCCCGUAACUAUAGACAUCAGCUUUGUAAGAGACACUCCAAUAUUUUUAUAAAACAGUUCAGGAGCCAUGUAUCCUAUCGUUCCUCUAGCAGUAGUGAGGGGCACGUGUUAUUAGAUGUUGGGUACAAUUCUAGUCCAAAAUCUGAUAUUUUUGGAACAAAUUUUUCGUCAAGCAAAAUGUUGUGCGGCUUGAUAUCAAAAUGCAAAAUUUGCAUAUCACAACCUUGAUGUAGAUAUUCAAUGCCACGAGCCACCCCAAGAGAAAUCUCAUACAUUUUCUCAUUACUUAGUGGGACACUACCUUCCUUAGAAAAAAUGUACUUUUCAAGAGACCCAUUAGGCAUGAACUCGUAUAUAAGAGCACGCUUCAAUCCCUCGACGGUGUAGCCUAUAAGUUGUACGACAUUGACAUGGUGAAUUCUUCCAUUAUGGCAACUUCGUUGAUAAAAUCUUGUCCAUUGGCUUUUGACUUGCCAAAAUAAUUUAACUGCUGCAAAACGACCACAUAUGAAGCUUUCCCUUAUACACUGAGCCAAAGCCUCCUUCACCCAACUUAUCUUUAAAUCCGUUGGUUAUCUUCUUAAUCUCUGAGUAAGUGUACCUUAUCUGCAUGAGAUCAUUAUUCAUGACUUUGCAAGAAUUUUUCAAUGUCGUCGUACAUGGAUAAAUGUCGUCUUCGCCAUUUAUAGAUCAGCAAAGUUAGGAGACAUAGAAGCCCGCAUGAAAGCAGUAGCACAUGAUAUGUCACUGUAUAGAGACAUUAUAAAAAGGGUUAACAUCAAAAAUAUUUUACAAAUACUUCAUUGAUUUUAGUGACGAGUUUAUGUGUGAUUAAUUCUUCAAUUUCAAAAUCUAAUCGUCAUGCCUCUCAACACUCUAAUAUAUACCUUAUGAAAUUGAAAACAAAACAGUAUCCAUGCAAGUCUAUGAUACAAACAAUAAAAGGAACUAUAAAAACUUUCAAAAUACCUUCUUUUUUUAUUUAUGAUAAUUGAUAGUAUUAUUAAUACCAUUCUAGCUAUUAAGAAAAUGGCCAACAUAAAAAAAAUCUGAUAUUUGUUUUAUAAAAUAAGAUCAUUAAGGGAAAGGAAAAAUAGAAAAGUGUUAUCCUAAAGAAGUAGUAAAUACUGUCAAAAUACUCAUGCUCUAUGUUUAUUAGAAUAUUUUUCCUUCUAGUGCUUUAAAAUCAUUGUUUAUAAUUGAAAACAAAAGUAGAAAGAAUAUUAGAUACAUUAAUUUGAUGCAAAAAUAAUAUGAAUUUAAGCUGUAAGAAAUAUUUAAAUUUCAAGUUCUUAUUUUCUACAACUAAAUAAACUUAAUGAAAAUAAGUCAUGAAAAAUAAUUAUUUCUUAAGCUGUAAUUGUUGCGUGAUGAUAUACAUCUAUUUAUUGUUUCACAAUUAGCUAAUAAAAGCAAAGCAAAAUACUUACCGAUAAAAGAAAGUAUCAUAGGGAGAAAAAACAUGAGAAACCUUAGUAAAACUGAAGGGAUGGUUAUCUGGUAAUCACAAUAAUCUGCCAAAUAAAAACACAAGAACAAAAAAAUAAAUAAAUAAAAUGAUGAAUAAUUUACCAUUAUGAUUGAGAAUCAAUUCAUUCAAAUAAAAGCAUUAUAAAUUAUAAUAGAAAGAUAACUAAUUUGGAACAAUUGAAAACUAUAUCUUUAUCCACUAGAUAUAAGAAGAUUAGAAGUGAUAUCUUAUUUCAUUUAGAUCUUCUAAUUAGAGUGGAAGAUUAGGAUUGAAAAAAAAAAACUUCUUAGGGUCUUUUAUUUAUUUUAUUAGAAAAAAUAAAUAUUAGUACUCCUUCUGUAAAAUGAUAUAAUUACACAAAAUAAAUUAACUCACCCCCAGUAAUUCGACAAAUUGUCCAGGAGAUACCUAUAAUCACCAAGAAAAUAUGAAUCAGCGCGCAAAAUCUGGAUGAUUAAUUAAAAAAACCUCAUUCGCGAAGAAAAUGCGUGAAGUAAAUGUAUCGUUUUGACCGUAAUAGUCCUCACCUUCUAAAAAAGGGUCUACCAGCGUCGUCACGACUGCAUUUCAAGAAAAAAAGGUCAACAGUAUUGAUAAUAUGAACUUGAAAUUUUAAACCGAAGAAAUGUAGAUUAUUAAAAUAUAAAAUCAUUAUUGAAGCAUUAGAUUAGAUUAUCAUUAUUGACUUUACUUUCAGAAGAUUUCCUGUUACCAUCUGAAAAUUUGAAACUGUGUUAUGCAGACAUGUAGAUUUAAACCCAUAAAAUAAAGCAAACAUGUUAUGCAUGCAUAAUCAUAAUACAGUACUUGAGAUAAGUUGAUACAUAAUCAUGUUAUGCAUGCAUAAUCAUAAUACAGUACAUGAGAGACAGAGAGAGAGAGAGAGAGUACGUACGGUAUGGUUCUGGGAAACGGUUAUAUUGUAAACAAUAAUUGUACUUUAUUAUAUCAAGGUUGCAGCGGUUCUCUGUGCCAUAAUCUACUGAACAUUGAGAGAGAAACUUUCUUUGGGAAACCAAAUAAUGUGCUUUGUUACACUUUGCUCAAAAGAUAUAUAAAUAAGUUAUGUGGACAUUACUCGUCUACAGACUACGUGUACCAUCUUGGAUCAAUACGAAAGGAAAUCAAUCGAUAGCCACAAAUUAAAGUCUUCGAGUUAUUGUCUUGGGCCCAUUCUCAUUAAAUUCAUGGGCCCAUUCUCAUUAAUUAUAUUUUUCAAAUUUCUAAAUGAGAUGCAGACGAGCCCAUUCAAUAUUUUUGAAAUUUCCAAAAUGAGGAAACUGCCUUGAAGUUUCCAAGUCAAUAAGAGAAAAAAAAAAAAAGCAAGGAAAGAAUGUGGUGCCAUUCAAUAUUUAAAUAUAAAUAUAGUAGGAAUAAAGUUAAAAUGCAAAACUGCAUAAAAACCACGUCGUUCUGCAAAACUCUAAGUGAAAACAACUACGUUUCUUUUUUUAAAGGGGUUACAAUAUGAAACGUUUCCAGUGUGUGCUAAAAUAAAAAAAAUUAACAAAAUAAAUUAUAACAUUUCGUGUGAAAACUUUAGGUUAAGUCCUAUGUACAUAUAACUAUUAAACAAUUAAAUUAAGAUCCAACUUAAAGUUAAUAUAUUUAAAAUAAAAUAAUUAACUUAAAGUUUAUUUUUAAAAUGUUUAAUUUCAUCAACUAAUUAAGUAAUUAAAUUUUAAUAAAGUAUUAUAUGUAAAACAAAAAUUAAGUAUUUAAAAUUAUUUUUUAUCUUUUAAAAAAAGAAGAUAUCAGCAUAAUAUUGCAAACUAUAUAAUCCGAAAAUUCAUCCAAAAGUUAAACUACUAUUGCAAAAGUGAGGUUGAAACAUUUUUUGCUUCCACGUAGUAUUGGCGAUAUUAUGCAAAUUUGUUGAAACAAUUUUACAACAAAUUUGCAUAAUUUUCAAUGGAUGUAGCAUUUCUAAAUUCAUUUGGAAUGAUGGUACUGUUUCUUUGAUUUAGACUUGCAUCAUAGUAUGAAGAGCAAGCAUCAAUAAUAAUAACAACAACAAAAACAUGCAUAUAUAUAUAUAUAAAGAAUGAUUAAUUUGAAAAAAUCAACAAAAAAAUAAAUUACAAAGUAAAUAUUUUAUUUUCACAGAAAAGUCAUGAACAAAUUAUUAUAAAAUACUUGUAUAUCAUGUCCAUAUGUAAUUAUUCAAAAAACAAUUGCUAAUAUUAUCGUAAAAAAUCUAACCAUAUUUGAAAUUUAUAAAAUAUAUAACCGGGUACCUUUUAAAAUCUCUUCUUUAUAAUUCAAUUAAAAGCGAGUUUUUUACAGUAAUCUUUAAAAGAAAUAAUAAAAAUUAAAAAGAGAGGAAAAAUGAUGGCAGAUAAUUAUCAAAUACGGUAAAAGUUGAAUUAUGAAGUUAAAGUUAUUAAUUGCCUAAACGUAAUGUCUUGCCACGUUAAAAUAUAAAAUUGAGUGUCCGUUGUUUUCACAAUCAAAUUCCUAUUUUUGGUAGCUAAUUAAUAUUAUGGAUAUUGUCACCAGAGCACAGUAAUUGUUGCUCUUUCAAGCACGACAAGAAUGGUUUGUAUUAUGGUUUUCUGGAAAAUAUAAUUAUUUAGAUUAUUUUAAUAUGUUAAAAAUAAAAUAAUUUUUUAAUAUAUAUAUUUUUUUUAAAAAGCAAGUUGAUAACAAUGACACAUUCACAUUAUUGAAUGGUUUGGAUCGCGUGUUUGGAAACUGGUUAAAAUCAUAUUUUCUUAAAUUUUAUUUUAAAUUUUAUUUUUUAUAUUUUUAAAUUAUUUUGAUGUGUUGAUUUUAAAAUUAUUUUUAAAUUUUUUUUUAUAUAUAUAUUUUUAAAUAAAAAAUACUUUAAACCAUAAACUCUGUAAUAAUCUCAAACAAGCUCCCAUCUAUCAUAACCGCGGUAAUGGAAUAUACAGAGAAAGAUAGCUUUUGUUUGGGUCCCAUCACGUAGAUAACAAUAAGUUAAUGGGUUUGUAAUAAAUCAAAAUCUUUAAAAACCGAGAAAGCUUUAGUUUUAAGAUAUUUAAUUUUUAUUCGUCAAAUAUUAUUGUUCAAAUGCCAUUCCAAUAGCUUUUUGUAAUGAUAAAUAAAUGGGGUCAGAUAGAGUCCACACAAAGAUGAUUUGAAACAGUGGGAAGCUGACAAUCAAGAAAUUGCAUGAAAAGUUCCCACCGAUGAAUUAGGGGAAGACCUCUUUGUGGCCUCCGCUUUCAAAGUCAAGCUCGUCUACAUGUCGGGUCCAUCCUGAAUGCGAUGCAGACGAGCCCAAACAGAGAAGAAAGAAUUGGAAAACAAAAAUAUAAGUAGUCUUCCCUUGAAGUUUCCAGAUCAAUAGUUAACAAAAUAAAUUAAGAGUUUAUGUCCUAUGUACAUAUAACUAUUAAACAAUUAAAUUAAGAUCCAACUUAAAGUUAAUAUAUUUAAAAUAAAAUAAUUAACUUAAAGUUUAUUUUUAAAAUAUUUAAUGUCAUCAACUAAUUAAGUAAUUGAAUUUUAAUAAAGUAUUAUAUAAAAAACAAAAAUUAAGUACUUACUUAAUUUUAAGUAUUUAAAAUUAUUUUUAUCUUUUUUUAAAAAAAAAAAGAUAUCAGCAUAAUAUUAAUUGCAAAAUAUAUAAUCCGAAAAUUCAUCCAAAAGUUAAACUAAUAUUGCAAAAGUGAGGUUGAAACAUUUUUUGCUUCCACGUAGUAUUGGCGAUAUUAUGCAAAUUUGUUGAAACAAUUUUACAACAAAUUUGCAUAAUUUUCAAUGGAUGUAGCAUUUCUAAAUUCAUUUGGAAUGAUGUAACCGUUCCUUUGGUUUAGACUUGCAUCAUAGUCUGAAGAGCAAGCAUGCAUCCACUACAAGAUUUCAUAGUUUUACCGUCGAUGUGUGACAGAAAGUUCGUCGGUAAAUUAUUUACCGACUAUAUUACCGACGAAAUACGCCCGUCAUAUUAUGUCCUCAUACAUCACAACAAAAUGGCCUUGCCGAGAGGAAACAUCGUCAUAUUAUGGAAAUGGGACUUACUCUUCUUGCCCAAUCCGGUUUACCUAAACAAUUUUGGGUUGAUGCAUUUCUCACUUCUAUUUUCAUUAUUAAUCGUUUACCUACCAAGGUUCUUGAUUAUUUAUCCCCAUUUGAAUGUCUUUUCUACAUUCCUCCUGACUUCACUUAUUUCCGAGCUUUUGGAUGUCAAUGUUUUCCAUAUCUUCGUCCUUACUCAACUGACAAAUUAUCUUAUCGUAGCAAGCCUUGUAUUUUCAUCGGUUAUUGUUCUAAUCACAAAGGUUUUCGGUGUUUUGAUCCAUCUUCUAGGCGUGUUUAUAUAUCUCGAAAUGUGAUUUUUUAUGAAGGUCAUUUCCCAGCAACAGUACAAUCUAUCUUCACUGACUCUGCCAGCAACGUGAGCUCCUCAGGUAAUUCUCAUAAUCUAUUGUUUUCUCCUCCCUCCACUAUAUUUAUUUCUUCCCCUGCUGUUCCCGCUCCUACUAUCCCAUCUUCACCUUCCCUUUCUCAAAAUUCCACCUCACCCGUCCAUGACCUCCAUCCAUUUACACCAAUUUCCACCUCUAGUCAUUCUGACACCCCUCUAGCCUCUCCCAAUUCCUCUCCACCCAUUCAUCAAUUUUAUUCUUCCCAUAACAGUGAGCAUCCUACUCAUCCAGACAUAUCACCUUCUCUUCCCCUACCUCCCUCUCACAUGGUCACUAGAUCCCAGACUGGCCAUCUUAAACCCCGUAGCUUUCCUGGUUUCCACACAUAUUACUCUACCUGUCACCCCCUUCAAGCUCUGUAUGCAGGUAUGGUCAUCUCUGAGCCUUGCACCUAUGCUCAAGCAGCUUCUCUUCCUGAGUGGCAGGCAGCAAUGGACACUGAAUUUCAGGCAUUACUCAAGAAUAACACCUGGUCUUUAUGCUCUCGUCCUCCUGGUAAAAAUGUGGUGCCUUGCAAAUUGGUCUUCAAACUAAAGAGGCAACCCGAUGGAAGUAUUGAACGUCACAAGGCUAGACUUGUUGCUGUUGGCUAUUUACAGAAAAGUGGGAUAGACUUUCAUGACACGUUCAGUCCUGUCAUCAAACCUUCGACUGUUCGUAUGGUCCUUACAAUUGCUGUUUCUUUCAACUGGGACAUUAGGCAGCUUGACGUCUCGAAUGCCUUUCUCCAUGGCAUUUUAGAAGAAGAGGUAUACAUGACACAGCCGAAAGGCUUUGAAGAUCCGAUGCACCCUCACUUUGUUUGUAAGCUUCACAAAUCUCUCUAUGGUUUCAAGCAAGCCCCUCGGGCUUGGUUUCAUCGUCUAUCUACUGCCUUAUUGUCUCUUAACUUUCAUAGCUCCCAAGUUGAUCCCUCCUUGUUCACUUAUCACCACGGUUCAGUGCAUGUGUUCUUAUUAAUAUAUGUGGAUGAUAUCCUUGUCACGUCUAAUGACCAAGAAUUCAUUACAUCUCUUAUCGCUAACCUGCAACUUGAGUUUUCCAUGAAGGACCUCGGCCAGUUGGCUUACUUCCUGGGUAUUGAAGCUACACGUUCUCCUUCUGGGUUGCAUCUUCGGCAAACAAGAUAUAUUAUUGAUCUUUUAGAUCGAGUGCAUCUCCUUGGCAUCCGACCUUAUAGAGCUCCUUGUGUCUCAGGCUCCAAACUAUCCAAAUUUGUUGGGGAACCUCUUUCAGAUCCAACUGAGUACAUGCAAACAGUUGGUGCCUUACAAUAUGUCACUCUCACGCGCCCUGACAUUGCAUAUUCAGUAAAUCAGCUAUGCCAACACAUGCAGACUCCAACCUCUGCCCACUGGACAACAGCUAAACGUGUCCUAUGUUAUUUGAAGAAUACACUUGAUUAUAGCCUUUUCUACAAACCUGGUUCCUUCUCCAUUAAUGCUGUCAUAACCCAAAUUUUGACCAUUUUUAUUUUUAUUAUUUUAUUUACUGAAAAUGAUAAAAAAUGAUGAUAAAAAAAAUAAUAAUAAUGAUGAAAACAAGUAAAAUGAAAUAAAUGAAGAAUGAAUUAAAAUUUGGGUUAAGGGCAACAUGAUUGGAAGUUUUUGGGGUUUAAUUAAACUUUGGAAUUAAUCUAAUUAAGCUUGGAAUUAAUUUAAUUAAUCCAAUUAAGGGCUUAAUUGGAGAAUUAAUAAGUUUUGAGAUUUAAUUAAGCUUGAAAUUAAUUUAAUUCAUCCAAUCAAGGAUUUAAUUGGAGAAUUGAUAAGUUUUGAGACUUAAUUAAGCUUGGAAUUAAUUUAAUUAAUCCAAUUAGGGGCUUAAUUGGAGAAUUGAUAAGUUUUUGGACUUAAUUGGCUUUGAAUUAAUUUAAUUAAUGAAAUCCGAGGACUUAAUUGAAGAAAUAUCAAAGUUUGGGGUUUAAUUGGGGUCCAAAUUGCAAGCAUUAAAAUCCAAGGACCAGAUUGAAAAUGGCGCGAAAAUGCAAGGAUCCAAUUAAACUUUAUCCAGGGGCUUAUUUACAAACAUUUCAAAACUUCAAGGACCAGAUCAUAAAUAGUAGUUGAUGGGAAAACGGAGCCGUUUCUUGGACAAAACUAUUCACUGUCUUCUUCCUCCGUUUCAUCGGUUUCCAGCCAACGCUUAAGUUUCAGCAUUGAAGGCACUUAAAGGGUAGGUUACACUGGGCAUUUAGGAGGCUUGCCGUUACCACCGAUUGUGGUCUUAUAAAAGGAGGAGUCGCAGCCAACAAAGGAGGAGGGAGGAAAAUAAAGGGAGAAACCCAGGGGAGAAGGCUAGGAACCAGUGGAGAGAACACUGAAAACCAGAGAGGAAAACAAGGGAUUUUGGGACUGAAAAGAGAGAAACAGGGAGGGACCGGAGACAAAAACCCAGGAGCAAAACCAGAGAAAGAAAGCCAUGCACGGCAGGGAGAGAGACUAAAACCAAAGGAAAACCAGAGAAAAAAGGCAGAACCGAGGGAGGAAAAAGCCAUGCACGGGAGGGGGAAGAGAUAGAACUGAGGGGGAAGAAAUCACAGAACACGGAGACAGAGAGAAUAAGAAAUAAACACGGAAGGAGAGACUGGACAAAGGAGAAGAGAACAGCCCGCCACCUAGCCAGUCAUCAUCUUCGUCUCCGGCAGCACCUGAACCAGGUAAGUCUUCUCUGCACUCCUGCAUUAUAAUUCACUUGCUACAGUAGCAAGUGAAUUAUAAUUAAUUCACUACCCAACCGGUCACAACCGGGUCAGCUGGGUCCAGCCCAGCCCAAAAAAAUAAAAAUAAAAAAAUAAAAAAAAUAGAAAAAAUUAAAAAUAGAAAAAAUUAAAAAAUGUGUAUGCAUGAAUAAAAAUAAUGUAAAUUUACUGGUUUAUUCACUGAUGCCAGAGUCAGGAAUAAAAAUACCGGUUUAAAUUUAUAUUAUUCUUAUUCGUUGUAUUUUUAUUUUAUUUAGCUAGAAAAAUAAAAUAUGUGCAUGCUUAAAAAUAAAUUUAUUUAUUUAUUGACUGGCGCUAGAGUAAGGAAUAAAAAAAAUAUAUUGAUCAAAUUUUAUUUGUCGUAGCUACGAAUUUUUACCAACGCCAGAGUUGGAAUUAUUCGAGCUCGAAUAUUCACUGGCGCCAGAGUCAGGAAUAUUAUAAACAAAUCAUCACAGCAUAAAUUAAUAAAUAUUUAGCACUUUAAGACAAAACCAACAAUGCAGUCUGCCUUAGGCAGAACGUUUAAGGGGUGAUAAUAUCUUCCCUUUUACGUAAUCAAUCCCGAGUCAUAGAAUCUCUGUUGACCAGUUAGGGUUUUCUAGUGACCAUAAUACUAGGUGACGACUCCUCAAACGAGAUAUUUUUCCUUAAAAGAACCGGAUGCCAGAAAUCUGUUUUUUUUUCCAUAAUUCAAGAGAAUUAAUUUUUAGGGUCGCCGCGAUGUCGGGUGCAACAAAUGCCUACUAUGAUUCUGAUUGGGCUGGUGAUCCCGAUGAUAGAAGAUCAACGUGUGGUUAUGGUGUUUAUGUAGGUUCCAAUCUCAUUUCAUGGUUGGCUAAGAAAUAACCUGUGGUCUCCAGGUCUAGCACUGAGGCAGAAUACCGUUGUUUAGCCCUUGUUACAGCUGAAGUGUAUUGGUUGCGUAUGCUUUUGUGUGAGCUGAAAAUUUCUCUUCAAGCUGCCCCUGUUAUUUGGUGUGACAAUAUCAGUUCUUUAGCCCUUGCCUCCAAUCCAAUUUUCCACGCACGGUCUAAACACAUCGAAGUUGAUUACCAUUUUAUCCGUGAAAAAGUGGCCAAUCAAGACAUAAUUUUACAACAUGUCCCCACUUCUUUGCAGCCUGCUGACGUUUUUACAAAGGGACACACAGCUGAUCGUUUUUGUUUUCUGCGGGACAAACUCUCUGUGUUGGAUCUUCCAGCUGAUUUGCGAGGAAAUGAUAAAGAUAAGAGUUGUGUUGUAUCUCCCUGCUAAAUUGCGAGGGAAUGAUAACGAUAAGAAUCAUCCUACGUGAUUAGGAUCAUCUGCAUAGGGUGUGUGUAUAUCUUGUAUUUGAAUCCCACGUAAACUAUAUCUCUUGUAAACAAACGUAGAAAGCUAGUUGUUGUAUCAGAUGUAAACACUGUGGUUAUAUAAGCCAGAAUACGAAAGAUAUUUGUAACCUUUUCCAGAAUUAUUUCAUAUACUGUCUGCAUUUAUCAAAGUUAGUCUGUAAGCUGCUGAUCAAAUUUGCUCUAGCUGUGGGGUGAGUCUUAGGGUUUGAUGUAUCCCUUAUCAUUUGAAACCAUGUCAUGAAAUUGUUGUGUGGUCUCUUACAAAUUAACUGUGCCUUACAAACUUGAAUUGGUGACCAACUCCGGGAAGAAUUCUGUUAAUGCCGGUCCUGCUAGGAAAGCUUGAAUGCCUAACUGUGCACAGGUUUAAUUCCCCACCAUUGACAUCUUAGAGUUAGAUGGUCAAUAUUUUAACAUUCUGUCUCUCCUUUCAUCUUUAGAAAUAUGCAUUACUGAUCACAGAGGAAGCAAUAGCUCACCACUCCAACAGCCAUACCAGUGCCAUUUAUGCUUCACAUGUUUCUGGUCAACCACUCUCACCAUAUUUUUUUUUGUGGAACAGGGAUGGAGGAGUUAAGGGACUGUUUAUAGGAGAUGGUCCCCGUGUUGCUCGUGCUGGCCCUUCUGUUGGAAUAGUCCCUACGAAAAGAAAUCAAUGGCCACAAACUACUAAAGUCUUGGAAUUAUUGCUUGGUUGCUCUCUAGCUCAAUGAUUAAGAUUUAGGAAAUUGCAUGAAAAGUUCCCACCAAUGAAGGGGAAGACCUCUUUGUAGUCUCCGAUGAAUGCGAUAUUGCAUACGAGCCCAAACAGAGAAGAAAGAAAUGGAAAACAAAAAUAUAAGCAGUCUUCCCUUGAAGUUUCUAGGUCAAUAGAAAACAACACAGGCAAUUAAUUAGAGAAAAGGUUAAGAAAAAAAAAAAGUGAUAACAAUCAAGCUAUCUUUCAUCACGUAGAUAACAAUGACAAUAUUGUUUAAGCGGCUGAUCGUUGGAAAUCACCGAUCAAAACCACGGUAAUGGAAUAUAGAGUGAAAGAUAGUUUUUGUUUGGGUCCCAUCACGUAGGUAACAAUAAGAUAAUGGGUUUGUAAUAAAUAAAAACCGAGAAAGCUUUAGCUAGCUAUAGAAAAACAACUAAUAUAUUUAUUUUUUAUUCCUUAAAUACCAUUAUAACACUUUAAAUAGAAAAACUAAGAAGAAAAAAAAAUCAAAUCCUAUAAUUAUUACUAGUUUCAUAAUAAACCACUUCAUAAUUAAAUAAAACUUAUAUAAAUCCUAGAAAAUCCUAACAAUUAAAUAAGUAAUACAGUAAAAAUAAAUAAAUUAUACCAAAAAUUGAAUCCUAUCCAUCCCACAUUAUAUUCUCCCACUUGAAAAAAAAAAUCAUCCACAAGUUAACUUCAAGAAAUUGAACUAUUCUAUUCUUAAAAAUAAAAUAAAAUCACUACCAGAAAUUCGCUAAAUACCAACGGACAUACCGACGGAAUUUUUUCUAUCGGUAUUUUUCGGCCGAAAUCACCGACGGACAAUAUUCGUCGGUAAUUACCGACCGAAAAUUUAGAAUUAAUGAAAAAAGGGCGGGCAGUGGCGCGGAGGUUUUGGCGGGUGAUUUUUCCGACGGAAUCACCGACGGAUUUGAAAUACCAGAUCCGUGCGCGUGAUGGGACCUGUUCACCGUCAAAAAAUACAGACGGAAUCACCGACGGAUUUGAAAUGCCAGAUCCGUACCGGUGACGUGACCGGUGCACCGUUAAAAAUACCGACGGAAUCACCGAGGGAUUUGAAUAGCAGGUCCAUGCGGUGACGUGUCGAUUGCCCGUCAGAAUUACCGACGGUUUUGCCGACGGAUUCACCGACACUCUCCUCCCCCAUUUAUCCUUCUUCUUUCUAAUCCUAACCCUCCCCAUUUGCAAAAUAACCAGCCCCCCCCUCGCCCCAAAACAAAAAUCUUCCUCAUCUCAGCACAGCAAGUUGUAUUUGUUUUGUGGUCACAGCAUCCGUGUUCUGAUUUACCGACGGAUUUUAUCAUUUUUUGUAAGUAAUUCUAUCUUUUAAAAUUUUAACAUUUAAAUGUCAAUUUUAUUGUUUUUUUAGUAUAUGUAUUAUUUUUUUUUAGUAGAUGUACAUGUUUUAUUGUUAUUUCUCAAACAAACUUGUAGUAUAUGAAUGUAUAAUUUUAUACUUGUUAUGGUUUGUUUUAGAUUUUGUAAGAUUGUAUUUGUUUGAAAAUUGUUAAAACUUAAUUUGUAGAAUUACCGAAUUACAUGUUGUGUUUUGAAAUAAUUAAGAGCUUGCUUAAUUAAUGGGUCCUUUUUAUAGAGGUUCGAUAGAAGUCAUGGAUGAUCGUUCAUGGAUGUAUCUAGAUUCACCCCAAGGAUUGCGGAGGAUGGAUUAUUGUAACGGGGUUCAGGGUUUUAUUAAUUUCGCAACAUCUAUUCCCAGAAAUUUUACUGGAGGCGGUAUUAGGUGUCCAUGCAGGAAGUGUCAAAAUAAAAAGUAUCUGCAUCCAGAUGUUGUAAUGAUGCAUCUUCUACACAAAGGGUUUGUGGAGGAUUACGAGUGUUGGUAUGCACAUGGAGAGGUAUUUGUUAGUAAUAGGAGAAUGGGAGAAACGGUGGUUGGGUCAACUUCUAGUGCUAGCAACGUGCAUGAAGCGGCAAAUGACAACACUAAUCCUUACAGAAACAUGGUUAUGGAUGCAAUGAGAAUGAAUCAAGAUAAUGUCAAUCAAUGUCCAAUCGUAGAAGAAGAACCUAAUGCAGAGGCAGCUAGGUUUUUUGAUUUGUUGAAAGAUUCUGACGAACCAUUAUGGGAUGGCUGCACAAACCACAGUAAAUUAUCGGCUGUGGCACAGGUGUUCACCAUCAAGUCAGAUCACGGGUUGAGUGAGGCCGGGUAUGACAAAAUUAUUGAUUGGGCAAGAAGCAUUUUACCAGAAGGGAACAGGCUCAAAGAGAACUUCUAUGCUGCGAAGUCCAUGAUGAAACCCCUCGGUUUAGGAUACCAGAAAAUUGACAUGUGCCCUAACUUCUGCAUGUUAUACUACCUUGAAAAUGCUGUGAUGACCGAGUGCAUGACAUGCGGGCAUUCCCGUUACAAACCCAGAACUGGCAGGGGGAAGACUCUAGUGGCAUAUAAAAAACUUAGAUAUUUCCCGAUCACACCUAGACUGCAGAGGUUAUUUAUGUCACCAAGGACUGCUGAGCACAUGACAUGGCACCAAACACACGAUGUCGUUGAUGGUGUGAUGGUGCAUCCUUCUGACGGCGAAGCGUGGAAACGCUUUAACAGUGUUCAUCCUGACUUUUCUGCUGAAUCAAGGAAUGUUCGACUUGGGUUGUGUACAGACGGGUUCAACCCAUUUGGGUCAUUUGCUGCUCCCUAUUCUUGUUGGCCGGUCAUUCUCACAGUUUAUAACUUGCCACCGGGAAUGUGUAUGAGGCCGGAGUUCAUGUUUCUAUCUACUGUCAUACCCGGUCCAAGCAGCCCGGGGCGGAAUAUAGAUGUUUGUCUUCGACCGUUGAUAGAUGAGCUGGCGCAGUUGUGGUCCUCCGGAUCUCUGACUUAUGAUAUAUCGAGGAAACAAAAUUUCCUUAUGAGGGCGGCUUUGAUGUGGACUAUCAGUGAUUUUCCAGCUUAUGGAAUGCUUUCUGGUUGGAGCACGCAUGGGAAACUCGCAUGUCCAUACUGCAUGGAAAACAACAAGGCAUUCACGCUAGCAAACGGAGGUAAAGCUUCUUUUUUUACUGUCACCGUCGCUUCUUGCCACUUAAUCACAGGUUCAGAAAGAACAGAAAAGAUUUCUUUGUUGGUAGAGUUGAAAAAGAUGUUGCAUCCCCGCGUCUUUCUGGUGAAGAAUUGCAUCAUGUUGUAUCAGAGUACGGUGACAUUGUGUUUGGCCUUCAAUCAGGUAAGCAAAAGUUUCCUGGUUUUGGUUUGACCCAUAAUUGGGUAAAGCGAAGUAUCUUUUGGGAGCUUCCGUAUUGGAAGACUAAUCUUCUCCGCCAUAACCUUGACGUCAUGCACAUCGAAAAGAACGUGUUUGAGAAUAUUUUCAACACCGUCAUGGAUGUGAAGGGGAAGACAAAGGACAACAUGAAGGCUAGAUUGGAUAUAGCUUUAUACUGUAACCGUAAAAAUAUGGAGUUGGUUUAUGACGAGUCACGGGUUGCAAAACCAAGGGCAAGCUUCGUGUUAGAGAAAAACGCACAACUGCUAGUCUACAAAUGGCUUAAGAGUCUGCGUUUCCCGGAUGGACAUGCAUCGAACAUAUCAAGGCUUGUUAACAUAGAGGACUGCAGAUUGUAUGGAAUGAAGAGCCAUGACUGCCACGUGUUUAUGCAAACACUCAUCCCAUUAGCUUUUCGUGAUUUGUUGCCAAAGGGAAUAUGGGAUGCACUAACGGAGAUCAGUCAUUUCUUCAGAGAUAUAUGCUCCAGCAAGAUGAAUGUUGAGCACAUUGAGAUGCUUCAAACGAAUAUCAUCGAGACACUAUGCAAACUUGAGAUGAUAUUCCCUCCUUCAUUUUUUGACUCAAUGGAGCAUCUCCCUAUACAUCUACCGUUCGAGGCAAAAGCUGGAGGACCGGUCCAGUAUAGAUGGAUGUACCCAUUCGAACGGUGAGAUAUUACAGUUGCAAUGGAAUUCAUAUCUUAAAGUAUUUUCUAUGUUUUUCUUAUUUGAAAAUACUUGAAUUGUACUUCAAUGCAGGUACUUGUUUAAUCUAAAAAAAAAGGUUAAGAACAAGGCGCAUGUUGAGGCUUCGAUAUCUGAGGCCUAUAUUGUUGAAGAGAUAUCAACAUUUAUCUCGUACUAUUUCGAACCUCAUCUGAGAACAAGAAUCAAUCGCGUUCCACGGCAUGACGAUGGCGGUGAAGUGCCUUCCAGUGGGAACUUGUCAAUAUUCUCCAAUACUGGACGACCCACACCUAAAAAUGCCGUAAGAGGAAGAUAUUUGUCGGAAAUAGAAUUCAAACAAGCACACAACUAUGUUCUAUUUAACUGUGAUGAGCUGAGACCAUUUAUUCAGUAAGUCUAUAUAUGUGUAAUACUAAUUAAACUUUGUCAGUAAUAUACUGUUAAUUAUAUAUUGUAAUAUCAUACACUCAUUAUCACUUGCAGGCAACAUCGACAAUAUUUGCUCUCCAAUAACUCGCAGCUGACCGAAUCCCAGAUCUUUCAAUUACAAGAUGAACAAUUUGCCACAUGGUUCAGAACACAUGUAAGCACUAUCACAAACUCAUUCUAACGUAUGCAUGUCAUUACGAGAUUCUCGUUCAUUUACCGUGUAUUGAUGUACAUUUAAUUACAUAUAUUUACAAGGUUUAUCAAAUGGGAAGGAGUGCGCCCAAGUCAUUGUCUUCACUAAGCCUCGGCCCUGAAAGAAAAGUUAAGUGCUACAACGGGUAUUUUGUCAAUGGAUAUGUUUUCCAUACUGAAGAAUACGGGCAAGGAAGAAAGACAUACAACUGCGGUGUUUGUGUUAAGGGAUCCACAAGUAGCCAGUUAGAAGUUGACUACUAUGGUAGAUUAGAAGAGGUCGUCGAACUGCAAUAUCAUAGCGAGCAGAAUAAAGUGUUUUUAUUCAAAUGCUAUUGGUAUGACACGACGGACAGAGGAAUCAGAGUUGAUCCGCACCAUGGUCUGGUCGAAAUCAACUCAAAAGCUAGACUCCGCAACAUAAACGAUGUCUUUGUUUUCGCAAAGCAAUGUCAACAAGUUUAUUACACAUACACCCCUUCAUUUAGAAAGGAUCGUUCAAGAGUUGAUUGGUUGUCCGUUUUAAAAACGAAACCACGGGGUCGUGUCGAGGUUGUUCAGGAUGAGAACGAAGACACAAGUGUGCGAGAUGAAGUCUUUCAAGUUCGUGAGUUGGUUGAACCAUAUCGAGUUGCUCCUUCGAUUGAAUUGGAAGAAAAUUCAAAUUUUUGAGUUCUCGAUGAUAGUCUUGUUGAUAUUGACGGAGAGGAGUUGAAUGUUGUUCUCAGCUCUAGCGGACAAGCAAAUGUCGAUGAAGAAGAUGAUAUCCAUAUUGAAGAUUGCGAUGAAGAUGAUGACAAUUCAAUUGACGAGGAAGAAGAAGAAAAUUCCGACUAAUUAUAAAAAUGAAGCCCUAUGUAAAAACAUUUGUCUCAUGUAAUUUAGAUUAUUGAUGAUGUAUUUUGUAAAACAAAAUAUUUACUGUUUAAGCAAUGUGGUUAUUGUGUUUAUGUGAUGGACAGUUUAUCAGUUAAGUUUAUGCAGGAAGGUAAACAGGCAAUACAAAGACAACCUUUCCUGCAUCAUGCAAGCUUACCGACGUCCAUACCGACGGAAAGUGAUCCGUCGAUAUCACACAGAGAGUUCAAAAUUAAUUACGCGAAAUGCUACCAAGACCGACGACAUUACCGACGGCUUCACUGACACAUACACCGACGGAUUAUAGUCCGUCGGUAUCUCACAGAGAGUUCGAAAAGAAUUACAACAAAAUGCCACAUUCACCGACGGGCAUACCGAGGGAAUUACAUCCGUCGGUAUCUCACAGAGAGUUCGAAAAUAUUUACAACAAAAUGCCACAAUCACCGACGUCCAUACCGACGGACAAACAUCCGUCGGCAUCUCACAGUAAGCUCGAAAAUAUUUAGAACAAAAUGCCACAAUCACCGAUGGGUUCACCGACGGAAUAGGUCCGUCGGUAAUUUGUCGCGCGAUUUCCAAAGUGUGUGAAUUAAUGCCCCUCUGAACUUGUCAGAUUAUCGACGGAAUCACCGACGGACUGCGAAAAAUAUGGAGGGCUUUUAAAAAUUCGGGGCGAAAUUCAAAAAAUACCGACAGAUUUUUGACCUGUUACCGACGGAAUUUUUAACUGUUACCGACUGAUAUUGAUUCCGUCGGUAAAAUUGCCCUAUAAGCUCUAGCCCCCGCCGCUUCGCCUCAUUUUUUCUUCUCCCCACCGCUUCGCUUCUCCUCCGUUUUUCACCUCAGAUUUUUCAUUUUUUCCCCUCAAUCCUUAAACACUUUCACCUUUAAUCUCUAGCAAGCUUUGGUGUUGUAAAUCUUCAUCAUAUUAAAAGGUAUGUGUUUUUUUGCUAAUUUAUUUUAUUUUAUUUUAUUUUAUUUUUAGUUUUUUUUAUUUUUGUUGUUUUGGUGUUUUUUGUUGCAAUGUAUAUAAAGUUUUGAAUUUGACACAUUAUUAAGGUAUGUAUAUUUCGUUCCUUUUCUUGAUGUAGGUUUUUGUUUUUGAAUUUUUUGAAUAUUUUUUGUUGUUGUGUUGUUAGAAUUGUUAUUAGUUAAUUUAACUUAGAAUUAGUUAAAGUUGAAUAUUUGAAUUUUUUUGAAUUUUUUGAAUUUGUUGAAUAUUUGUUAAUUUAAUUGUUAGUCUAUAUUUUUUUUUAAUUUAUUGAAUAUUUUUUGUUGUUGUGUUGUUAGAAUUGUUAUUAGUUAAUUUAACUUAGAAUUAGUUAAAGUUGAAUAUUUGAAUUUUUUUGAAUUUGUUGAAUAUUUGUUAAUUUAAUUGUUAGUCUAUAUUUUUUUUCAAUUUAUUGAAUAUUUUUUGUUGUUGUGUUGUUAGAAUUGUUAUUAGUUAAUUUAACUUAGAAUUAGUUAAAGUUGAAUAUUUGAAUUUUUUGAAUUUGUUGAAUAUUUGUUAAUUUAAUUGUUAGUCUAUAUUUUUUUUAAUUUAUUGAAUAUAAUUUAUUGUUGUAUUGCCUAUAUAAUUAUUGAUUAAUUUAUUGAAUUAAUAUUGUUAAUGUCGAAUUUACCUUAGAAUUAAUAAUUGCGUUUGUUGGAAUAAUUAUCGAUUUCCAAUUUAAUUUAUUUACUUUUAAUUUAUUUUUAGUUGUUUUUAUUUUUUGUUAUUUUGUUGUUUUAGUGUUUUUUUUGGUAAUGUAGAUAAAGUUUUGAAUUUGUCACAUUAUUAAGGUAUGUAUAUUUCGUUCCUUUUAUUGAUGUAGGUUUUUUUUUUUGAAUAUUUUGAAUAUUUUUUAUUGUUUUGUUGUCAUAAUUAUAAUGAUUAAUUUGUUGAAUUAUAAUUGUUAAUGUUGAAUUGUAAUGAUUAAUUUGUUGAAUUUAUUGAAUUUAUUUUUUGUCAUAUUUUUUAUUGUUUUGAAUAUAAUUAUUGAUUAAUUUGUUGAAUUAUAAUUGUUAAUGUUGAAUUAAAAUGAUUAAUUUGUUGAAUUAUAAUUUGUUGAAUUUAUUGAAUUUAUUGAAUUUAUUUUUUAUCAUAUUUUUUAUUGUUUUGAAUAUAAUUACUGAUUAAUUUGUGAAUUGUAAUUGUUAACGUUGAAUUUAUCUUAGGAUUAAUAGUUGAAUAUGUUGGAAGAAUUAGUAUAGAUUGGUUCGAUUGGUUGUGGCUAUUGUUAAUAUUUGCAGGUUUGUGGAUUUGGGUAGUAUCCAGUAUAGGGGAGGUGCUGCCGAUUUUUUUUUAACUUUUGAAUUUUAUUAUACAAUUAUUAAUAUAAAAUUGUUUAGAUGCGCAAAAUGAAAACCAGAGCUGGUCGUCCAGUCGAAUCAAGUUCGUCUAGCAGCGAUGAUGAUGUUUCCUUAGGUGCCUCUCAAGAAGAGGCACCUACACCACCUGCGCCGUCAACCGAUGCUGCCUCUUCCAGCGAUGUUUCACAUCGCAGACGCGGCAUGCCUUCGAAGCGGAAUCAAUUUACCCGCCAGUUCGAGGCACAGUGGAAGGACGAUCUUUCAAUGUAAGUUUGUUAAGGUUUUAGUUUUUUUUAUAUAAAAAAAACAAAUUUAAAACAUAAUUUAUGAAGUAAUCACAAAUUAAUUUCAUUUCUUUUCAGGUUCACAAACAUUGAGGCCGCCCGAUUAAUAUCAUCGGCGUUUAAAGCGUCGAUGGAGAUUCCAUUGUUUCAAUGGAGUCAGAUAUCCAGACAUCCUGAAUGGAUGCCUCAAAUCAAUGCAUGGUUUCGUAGAUUUGAGGUUCGUGUUAAUAUAUAAUUUUCAGCUUAUUUCUAAUAAAUUCAAGUUAUAAUUGUAAAUAAAUUAUUAACAUUUUAAAAAAUUAUUUUUUUAUAUACAGCAUCGAUUCUGCUGGGACGAUGAACAUGACACUGUUGUGAGGAGGGUGUGGGAAAAUCACGCGGCAAUUAGGUAACAUCGAAAACAAUACGACUUUUUUUUACAUAAUUAUUUAUGUUUCGAAAUGUAAUUUUUUCGUGCGUGAAUUAGGUUGCGUGAUUUUUGGUAUGACGCCCAGAAAAAAGCAAAAAAAACAGCGAGGGAUAAGGGGUUACAAGGCUGGAACGAUGUUGCGGUUUGGAGGGAUUUCAAACCAAUAUACAUCCCGGAAGAUAUAUGGCCGCACUAUCUUCAGCACGUGACGUCUGAGCGGUUCACUCGACGCUCACAGUCCGGUGCCGGCAACCGGAAUCGGCAAAUUCAUGGCUCGGUUACAACGCACACCGGCGGCUCCGUUCCGUUUGCUGCACAUGCGAAACGGAUGGUAAGAUUAAUUUAAAUGAAAUAUAUCGUUCAAGUAAUUUGUUGUUAAUACAUUUUUUUCAUUAUAUAUAGGCUAUGUCUCUUGGACGUGAGCCGAGCCCUAUGGAGCUGUUUGUGGGGACGCAUGUGCGGAGUCAUGACCGCCAAAAGGGGACGCAACAGUUCGUUGACAACCGUGCUCAACAGUUUGUGGUGUGUUUGUUCAACCAUUUUAUUUUAUAAGUUAUUAUCAUGUUUAUUGAAUUGAAUAUGAUUUUUUUUUUCAGGAGACCUAUAAUAAUCGGUUGAGGGAGAGAUACGGGGACGAUCCUUCGACCCAUCCGGAAUUCGAUCCGGAUUUGUGGAUGGAGGUUGGAUCGUCAGGUGGACCCGAUAAAAAUCGGGUUUACGGGCUCUCCAACACUACCGCCGCCAAGUUGCGGUCGACCGGUACUGCUUCAACCGGUGGGAGCUCCCAAUCUGUAUCGAGCUCCCAAUCUAAGGAGUUUGUGGCCUUGCAGCAAAGGUGCGACCACCUAUCAGAGGCGUACACACAACUCAAAGAAGAGCAAAGAUUGGCGAACGAACAACACAGAUUGGCAGACGAACAACGCAGAGCAGAGUCUGAACAACAAAGAGCGGCCUAUGAAGAGCUUCGUCAAAUGGUCAUGAACAUGACACAAGGUGGAACAUGUGCGCCUAAUCCUUUUUGGCCGCCUAACCCCCACCCUCCUCCUCCUCCUCCUCCACCUUUAUAUUAAUAUUUUUUUUUUAAAACACAUUCAUUUUGUAAUGAAUAUUAUUUUAACUUUGAGUUUUUGUUGCUUAAUAUAAAUUUUAUUUGCAUAAUUGGUUUGUAUUACUAUUAAUUUAUAUUAUUUUUUCUAAAUAAUUAAAAAAAAUAAUUACACAGGGAUUUACCGACGGAAAAAAUCCGUCGGCAUUGGACAGUGUCUGCGGUAUUCCAUCCCAUCACCGACAUAUUCACCGACGAAAAUAAUCCGUCGGUAUAAAAAUACCGAUGAAUUUACAGACGGAUUUAUUCGGUCGGUAUGAAAUAUCACCGACACUUUUGCCGACUGAGGUAUUCCGUCGGUAUAUACAUAACACCGACGGAAUAUUUUCCGUCGGUAUAUUCCAAGCGGGAAACUUUUUUUUUUUUGGCGCGCACAGUCCGUCGGUAAUUUUUUUUUUUGUAUUACCGACCGAUAUAGCGACGGAAUGUGGAAUCACCGACAAAAGGUAUUCCGACGAGCGUAUUCCGUCGGUAAUAUAGUCGGUAAAUACUUUACCGACGAACGUUCUGUCACACACCGACGGAAUAUUUCCGUCGGUAAAACUGUGAAAUCUUGUAGUGAAUAGAUACUCUGAUAUUAAUUCAUGCACGAGAUAACUUGCAUCAAAUAACAUAAACCUAAUUUCAACAAAUAUACUUUUAUUUAGAAUUUUUGAACCUAGACUAAACUUCUUUUAGAUAAAAAAAAUCUAGGUCACAAGAAUUAUUGAUAUUUAAAAAAUCAAACGAGUCUUUAUCUGGUGCCUGAGCUUCAAAUUUUAUAUUUUCUUUGAUAGAUUUCUUAUUGCAAAAAUCAUCAUUAUUUCCAUUUGCCUAUCCAAUUAAUUCGUAAGGCUACUUUUGAACCAUUCCGACAAUGAGUGCAAUACCAUGUGCCUUGUCUCCUGUGCAUUUAUUGUUAUGGUCGGUUACACAAUUUCAUCAACUACAAUCUUAAUAACUUCGAAACAAGACUUUUGUUCUUUGUACUCUCUCAAAUUCAUAAUAAUCUUUGACAAUUUCAUCAAUUUAAUCUUUUGUUCUUUUGUAUUUGUAGAUCAAACAAUUUCAAAAUGGAAGUGUACAAUUUCAACUAACUGAUUUAUAGAUCUAACGAAUUCAAAAUGGAAGUGAUGGUACUCAUCUAUUCUUAUAAUAGAUGAAGAAUAAUGCAUUCCGCGUAAAAAAGUAAGGUUAAGUCCUGUGUAUAUAUAACUAUUAAAUAAUUAAAGAAAGAUCCAUAUUAAAGUUAAUACAUUUAAAAUAAGAUAAUUAACUUCAGUUUAUUUUAAAAAUAUUUAAUAUCACUAACUAAUUAAGUAAUUGAAUUUUAAUAAAGUUUUAUAUAUAAAGCAGAAAUUAUCUACUUUGUUAAUUUUAAGUACUUUAAAUUAUUCUUAUCUUUUAAAUAAAAUAAAAAUCAGUAUAAUAUUGCAAAAUAAUCCUAAAACCCAUGAUCCAAAAGUUCAACUACUAUUGCAAAAGUGAGGUUGCAACAUUUGUUUUUGCUUCCACGUAGUAUUUGCGGUACUAUAUACAAUUGAAGCAAUUUUACAAGAAAUUUGCAUAAUCUUUAAUGGAGGUUGCAUUUCUAAAUUAAUUUGGAAUGAUAGUACCGUUCCUUUGGUUUAGAUUGGCAUCAUACUAUUUAUGAAAAGCAAGCACCAAAAACAAAUCAUGCAUUUAUUUUCACAGAUGUAAUUAUUCAAAACAAAUAUUAAUAUUAUCGUAAAAAAUCUAACCUUAUUUGAAAUCUAUAACAUAACCAUCUUGGAUCAAAGACUUGGAGAUAUUGCAUGGUCAAAGUCAAUGGCAAGAAGAGUUCCCACCGAAAGAAGGGGAGGACCUCUUGAUGGCCUACACUUACAAAUUCAAGCUCGUCUCAUUGAAUACAUGGAGAAUUAUGCACCCAUGGUUUUCUGGAAAACAAUUAAAUUUAAGGAGUCUUCGCUUGAAGUUUCCAAGUCUUCUCUUACAUAAGGAUUACCACAUAUGGUCCUAUCUUAUCUUUUCUUUUCCUUAACGCGGAGUUCUGACACAACAAACUAUGGCCCCGUCGGUUGUUUUACGGAGGAAAACACCAUCUAAAAAAUCAAUUGCAAGAAGAGUUCCCACCGAAAGAAGGGGAGGACCGGAGGACAUCUUGAUGGCCUCUGAUAAGGGAAUUUUUUGCAUGUAUAUUUUUUAUUAUCCAUACUUGAUUUUGAAAUAUUUGAAUGUGUUACACAAGAUAAUUAUAAUUUUAGAUCCUUUUUUGAACUAUUGACCUCUUAAAAAAUUAAUGUGUUUUCAAAUAUUAGGUUAUAGAACAGGUAGAGCCUGACAGUAAAACUAAACAAUAAUUCAUUAUGUGCUGCAAAAGAAGCUAUACAACUUAGUUCCAGAUGUUUGUUAUUAUUUUUAAAUAGCUGAGAUAAAGGUCUAUAAAACAUAUAAAUGGCAUAUAACUCAGUUUUGUUGUUUCUAGCCUAAACAGAUAAGAAAGAAAUGAAAACAAAAAUGUAAGGAGUCUUCCCAGCUUGAAGUUUUCAGGCCAAUUAAUAGAGAAAAGGUUAAGAAAAAAAAUGUGAUAACAAUCAAGCUGUCUUCCAUGUUGAGCCCCAUCACGUAGAAAACAAUGACAAAAUUGAAAGCCCUGAUCGUUGUUUGGUUGGAGUUAUUUUUAAAAUAUUUUUAUUUAAAAAUAUAAUAAAAUAAUAUUUUUUAAUUUUUAAAAAAUUAUUUUUAAUAUUAACAUAUUAAAAUAUUUUAAAACAUAAAAAAUAUUAAUUUAAUUUAAUUAAAAAAACUAAUUUUUAAAAAAUAAAAUAAAUCAACCCAUCAGAACCACGGUAAUGGAAUAUAGAGUGAAAGAUAGCUUUUGUUUGGGUCCCAUCACGUAGGUAACAAUAAGAUAAUGGGUUUGUAAUAAAUAAAAAUCUUUAAAAACCGAGAAAGCUUUAGCUAGCCAUAGAAAAACAACUAAUAUAUUUAUUUUUUAUUCCUUAAAUAUUCUUGUUCAAAUACCAUUAUAACACUUUAAAUAGAAAAACUAAAAAGAAAAAAAAAAUCAAAUCCUAUAAUUAUUACUAGUUUCCUAAUAAACCACUUCAUAAUUAAAUAACAAUUAUAAAUCCUAGAAAAUCCUAACAAUUAAAUAAGUAAUACACUAAAAAUAAAUAAAUUAUGCCAAAAAUUGAAUCCUAUCCGUCCCACAUUAUAUUCUCCCCCUUGAAAGAAAAAAAAAACUCAUUCACAAGUUAACUUCAAGAAAUUGAACUAUUCUAUUCUUAAAAAAAUAAAAUAAAUAGAUAAUCUGCUAUUAAUUCAUGCACGAGAUGACUUAUGUCGAACGUGUGCAGCGUCGCGGCAAUCGUCUACCUUUUAAAAAAAUGGAUAUGAUGUAAGUCUAUCUAGCCAAUAUGAAGAGACAAGGAAUUCUUGUCUCUUAUCAGUAAAAUAUGGAUUGUGAGUCGCCACCUAGUAUUAUGAUCAUUAGGAACUCUAACUAGUCUCAAAAAUCGGGUACGAAGACUGGUUGCGUAAAAGGAAGGUAUUAGCACCCCAACUACGUCCUACCUAAGAUAAGCUGCAUUGUUUUGUUGUCUGAUAAAAUCUAAAGUCUUGUUGUAGUUUCUAAUUGUCGAUCUAUCUACAGUUUAAAAAAAGUCAUCCUCUAUAAGGAGAUUCAUAUCUUAUCAGGUAAAAACCUAAAUGUUCUAUGUCGUCAAAAGAAAAUACCUUUUUAAUAUCAGAAAUAUAUUUUACGUAUAAAUUCGUAAUCCUUGAUACUAAAACAACAAAAAAUAAUUUUUUUGUUUUUGAUAUUUUGGUUAAAGUUCUCUUGACUUUAAUAAACUGGUUAUUAAAGUCAAAAUGCACGUUAAAACAUUAUUUUUUUAUGUAUGAAAAACAGAAUAUGAUUUUUUAGCUUUGAGACACUUAGCCGUAUGCAAAAAAAAAAAAAAUUUAGUUGACAAAAACCAGGUAUUUUAAUACCAGAUUUAUAUUGUUACUGUGUAUUUAAUUGGAAUGAGCCAACAGGACCCAACAUAAAAAAAAUUAAAUGGGCCAGCAUCAGCCCAACAUAAAAAAUGGAUCAGCAUCGACCCCAAAGAUUAUAAUUGGCUACAACACAGUAACCAACCAAUUAUUUAUUUGCUGCAGAAGCAUGCAAAUGAAAGAAAAACAAGUAGCAGGGACAAUCCUCCUUGUAAACUAGAAAUUCUCCGGAUUACGAUUAGCAUCGAUCUUGGAUACCUACGAAAAGAAAUCAAUGAUUAAGAUUUAGGAAAUUGCAUGAAAAGUUCCCACCGAUGGAGGGGAAGACCUCUUUGUGGCCUCCGCUUCCAAAGUCAAUAGAAAACAACACAACUGCGGAUCAACCAAUUAAGUAAUUGAAUUUUAAUAAAGUUUUAUAUAUAAAGCAGAAAUUAUCUACUUAGUUAAUUUUAAAAACUUUAAAUUAUUUUUAUCUUUUAAAUAAAUAAAAAUCAGCAUAAUAUUGCAAAAUAAUCCUAAAACCCAUCCAAAAGUUCAACUACUAUUGUAAAAGUGAGGUUGCAACAUUUGUUUUUGCUUCCACGUAGUAUUUGCGGUACCAUAUACAAUUGAAGCACUUUUACAACAAAUUUGCAUAAUCUUUAAUGGAGGUUGCAAAAGUGAGGUUCCUUUGGUUUAGAUUGCAUAAAAAAAAAAAAGCAUGCAUUUAUUUUCACAGAUGUAAUUAUUCAAAACAAAUAUUAAUAUUAUCAUAAAAAAUGUAACCUUAUUUGAAAUCUAAAACAUAACCAUCUUGGAUCAAAGACUUGCAGGAGAUAUUGCAUGGUGAAAGUCAAUGGUCAAAGGCCUCUUGAUGGCCUCCACUUCCAUAGUCAAGCUCGUCUCAUUGAAUACAUGUGUAAGAAAAUCACACAUGGUUUUCUGGAAAACAACCAAAUGCAAGGAGUCUUCGCUUGAAGUUUCCAAGUCUUCUCUUACAUAAAGAUUACGACAUAUGGUCCUAUCUUUUCUUUUCUUUAACGCGGAGUUGCUGACGCAAGAAACUAUGGUCCCGUCGGUUGUUUUUCGGAGGAAAACACUAUCUAAAUUUCUCAAUGAUCGUCGAUGAAAAAUAUGUUUGAGUUACAAAAAAAAAAACUUGUUUUUGGUUUUAUAAUUUUUGGCUAAAUAUAUUUUCUAGAAGUUACAAAUAAAAACAGAAUUCGUUAAACGAAUGUCUAGAGGCUUUUUCAUCAUUUCAUCCUUUUUUUUUAAUUAUAAAGUAUAUUUAUUUAGAGGCAAUUUGGUAUGAUUGUCUUGGAAGAUUGAAGAUUUUUUAAAAUGAUAAUGUUUGUUUUUUAAAGUAUUUAUUGUUUAAAAAUAUAUUAAAAUAUUUUUUAAUAAAAAUUAAUUUUCAUAUUAUCAUAUUAAAAUAAUAAUAAAAAUUAAAAAAUUAAUUUUUUUAAAAAACACUAUUUAGAAUACAAUUUCAAAACAGAUGAAAGCAUUAGAGGAGUCAGUCUCCAAAAUUCACUUCACGUCAUUUUCAAAGGGAGAUUCCACUCUGAUUUGCAAAGCCUAAUGGAUCGCAAUCGCACCGACUUGGUUGGUCAAACAUGUAAAAUAUAAUCAACAUUGUGCUAGAGGAAGGUGUUAUAAAUUUAUUGUGUUUCUCGCAGUGUUUUUAAAAUUAACCCGGUAGUUGACCCGGUCCAAAACUAAGGUCACGGGUUUUAAUUAAAUUACUCGAAUCAACCCUAAUUUCUUUUAUAAAUCAAAAUAAUAUUAUUUUGGUAAAAAAAACAAUAGUCAAUGGGUUGCAACCAGGUUUUUAAUCGGGUUUUUCUGGAUCAACCCAUGAGGGUCAGCCAGGUUUUUAACUAUUUUUAUUUUUUAAUAAACUCAGCCUGUUUUCGGCCCUGGGUUAGCUGGGUCCUGGAUCGAUCACUUGGACCGGACCAGGUUUUAAAACUAUGAUUUGUGGUUGUGGUUAUGAAAUUGUAUUUCUGAAAAAUUUUAAAAUUUUUAUAUUUUUAAAUUAUUUAUUUUAUGCUUUUAAAAUAUUUUUUAUAUGUUAAUAUUAAAUAUAAAUUUAAAAAUAUAUAUAUAUAUAUAUAUUAUUUUAAUAUAUUUUUAAAUAAAAAAAUAUUUUAAAAAUUCUUAUGUUGUUUGAGAUCAUUAGAGAAGAUGUAUAUACAAAAAAGAGAUUGUUGCUAUCACCCUUCUACUCGACACAUGCAUGUGACUUUUGAUUUCAUUUUCUUGGAGUCAAAGUAGUAUUUCUCGACUUCCUCACCCAUCUCUAUAUCCUCUUCAAAAAAAAAAAAAAAAAGAGAAAUAAAUUAGGUUAUACUUUGCUUCAUCUCCUAAUAUUCCAGAUUGUUUUAUUGGAUACAAAUUACCUUUCAGUCAUAAUGAAGAAAAAUCAUCAAAUCGAUGUUCUCUAGAAUACAGAGCAAGAAAAUCAAAGUAAUAUCUCAGAAGCUAGCAAAACCACUAGAAGCUGCUUUCAUCCAUACAGGUCCCUUACAAACCACGUACAGGUAGCUCUUCCAAAACCAGAGUGGACUCAAGCUAUAAUUAUAGAAAUGAAGGCAUUGCAGAAAAACCAAGCAUGGAGUCUUGUUCCCCUACCCAACUCGGAUGAAAGAAAAACCAGGUGCUAGUGGGUGUUUUGUAUCAAACAUAAGGCAAAUGGGAUCACUGAAAGAUACAAAGCUAGACAUGUAGAAAACAAUAUACUAAAACAUAGCGAAGUUGAAUAAAAUUUUAUUCAUUUAAGUGUGUGUCAAUAUAAGACAUUUACUCUCUUGUGUUUGCUAAAUUUUAUUUAUUCAAAUAUUUUUUUAUUUAAUCAAACUAUAAUAGAUCAUACAUUAUUUUCUUCGUUUUUCUCCUCUGCUUCUCCCCUGUUCCUUUUUGCUUCCUCUCUCUGUUUUUUUCUUCGUUUUUCUGCUCUGUUUUUCUUCCUCUCUCUCUUCUUUCUUAUUUUUUUUUUCCUGUUCUUUCUGUUUCUCUGAUACAAAAGAAACUUAGAUCAUACAUUAUUUCUUAGAUAUAGAAAAAGAAAGGUAACAACUUCGAUAAAAUAAGUUGAUGAUACAAUAAUUACAAACAAUGAUGCAGAAGAAAUUCAAAUACUUGGAGAAAAUAUAUGACAGCUAAGUUUGAAAUAAAGAACCUUGAAAUGCUAAAAUACUUCCUAGGCAAUGAGAUGGCUAGAUUAGCCAGAGGUAUUCUCUUAUCUCAAAGAAAGUAUAUGUUCAAGAAGAACAGUUAACAGAUAUAUACUAACCAAAGCAAUUUCCAGUAAAAUCUUUUAUAGCUAUUGAAGAUAUCUAACAUAGAAAACAAACCGUAUACGAGAGAAGAGAGGGCUUAAAGUUUCCACCAUGAAAAUCUGGAUGCCUCUUGUUUGAGUUUGGAAAGAAAGGUGCUGAAUGGAUGUAAGAACGACAUGAAUGUCAAACGUCACCGCCUUUCUUACAGUCAAUUCACUACCUCUCCUCCAAAACGUAAGGUCUCCUGCUUUUUUGGGGGUUAGACACCGGAAGUAGACAACCAAUAAACAGCACGAGUUCUCUUCAUUCUGGUGAAACAGAACACAAGAAAAUAUUUAGUAAAAUUAUUUAACAGAUAUAUACUCGACAUUACCUCCUUAUCCAUUAGAUCAAAUAACUAUUUGCACUUUCAGCCCACAGAAUGCAAGAUUCGUAGAAAACAGAACUAAAUUAUAGCCAUGAUACUGACAGCUAUUUGUUUUAAAAGAAACAAAUAACAAAACCUUACCGCUAAUAAUCAGUAACAUCCCAAUCAUUACAAAUGGUGAAGCUAAACAUGCCAUGAAUACAAUCAAUAACAUGAAACAGCGUUGGAGCCUUGUUUGCAGGUGCAUUUAAUGCUUGAUUUCUCCAUCAAAUCGAACAAAACUUGCACGAAACGGAUCCCCUGCAGUUCCUCUAUAAUCCCAUGUGAACGUAUUAGGAUAAAUGACAGCAAGGCAACGCCGGCAACGGCGUGAAGAGGUCAACUCAGGCAGCCUUUUCCUGCAGAUUUGACAACUCAAGGAGGUUAUUUUGAACCAACGGUUGGGAUCUUUCCCAACCAAAUCAAGGGUUGAAAUUUUACCCCGAUGUAGAAGAGAUUACCCUCUUCCACCGCCUAUAAAUAGAAUCUAUGUUGAUGACCUGAGAGAGGAGAAAAUUGAACGCAAAGUUGGCCGAAACCAGCCUCCCCCGCCCAGUUUUCCUGCAACUAGCCCUUUCCCUUCUUUCUCUCUCCGUCGUGGCCUUCAGCCACCACCACCACCACCACUUGUCUUCUCACCAUCAUCUCCACCUCAAGCAGCCAUUAAAACAUCACAUGCUAUGGUUGCAUCAUUUCUCUCUCUCCUCUGUAAAAUUUUUCUCCUUUGCCACCAUGACCCCAGCCGCAACAACCACUUCGCCUAGAAGUUUGUUCUCUCCUUCCCAACAACAGUUAGGGUAGCAAGCCUCUUCUCAGCCGCUCCAACAGUUCCAACCGUGAGCUUCCUUUCUCCUUUGCAGGCGUCUUCUUCUUCUUCUUCUAGUUGCGCCUGCAGCCGACCACCGGCCUCACCACCUCCAGUCGCACCGUGCGCCACCAGUCAGGCUACCAGCUCCUUCAACACCAGGUGAGUCUCCCCCCUCUCUUCUUCUUCUUCUUCUUCCCUUCACUGCCAUUGCUGCAUGUGAAUAGUGCAACGUGAAUUAAUUCACAUUGCACUGUUCCAUGCAACUUAGUCACUGGGCUGCCUAGUGACUAAGUUGCCUCAGGCUGGACCUACCUUAGCCCAGCCUAGUUGGUUGGGCCGGGUCCAGCCCGUCCCUAAAAUAUAAGAAGAAAAAUAUGUUGGGCCGAGUCCGGCCCAACUAUUUUUGGCCUAUAAUCAACACACUUGUUUAUGGGCCUGUGCUGGGCCCAACCCACAUGCUUUGAUAUAUUUAAUUACUUAAUAUAUAAUUAAAAAUAAAAUAAACGAAAAUUUUCCAAAAAAAAUUUCAAAAAUCCUUUCAAAAAAAUUUGUAAUUUUCUUAAAUAUUUUUUUACCAAUUUUGUUCAAUAUUGGAUUGUAUACUUACACUGUAAGAUACAAAUCCGGUAUUAAAAUACCCAGUUUUCUCCGAAAUAUUAAAAAAAACAUUUCAAAUUUUUAUUUUAUUUUAUUGCAUACGGCCAAAUCCUAAAAUGUUUUCCAAGCAUAUUUUUCAUAAAACAAAAUGGAUAUAAGUAGUGUUGUAACCCAUUUUUGGGUCCCCACAAAAAAAUAAAGUAAAUAGCCAAAGAAGCUCAGAAAAUGGUCGGAAGAUUGGUCAAGGAAGUUAAAAAAUACAAAGAUUGGAUUUUUGACAGUAUUUUCUUGAAGGAUGAGAGCCCUGUUGAGAAGGAAAAUUUGAAUUUUGAGGAGAAAAGCCCAAAUUUGGAUGUUUAUGGAAUUAAUUGGAUUUUAUUUGAAUUUAUAGAGGAUUUGAGUGCAAGAAAAAUUAAUUUUUAAGUCAAUUUGGGCUUUAAUUAGAAGAAAUUUAAGUUCUGGGGCCAAAAUAUAUUUUUUUGGAAUUUAUUAGGUCAAAUCAGGGGCUUAAUUGCAUAAAUAUUGAAGUUUAAUAGCCAAUUAGGGGCUCAAUUGUGAAAAUCUGAAACCAGGGACCAAUUUAGAAAAUACGUGUAAGUUUUGAAUUGAUCCAGGGGCGUAAUUGAAGAAAUUGGAAGUUUAUUGAUCAAUUGAGGGCUUAAUUGCAUAAAUCAGAGGCCAAGGACCAAGGUGAAAAACGCGGCCAACUACGGGGUCGAGGACCGAAAUUAACAGGGACGCAAAUGAAAGAAACAAAAGAUAAUUAAGGGCUGAUUUGAAAAUUGGCACUUUCUGGUGCCAUUUUUAAAUGAAACGGCGCGUUUUCCCCAAACGACGCCGUUUCAUACACAAAAAAAAAAAGGACCGAAUGGUGCUGUUUUGAACGGCACUGUUCCCCUUUCUUCUUCCCCCCGAACGUGCAGCAAGCAUGGGAAGAAAACUUGUUUAAUCAUCCGGUGCCGCUCUCUCCUCGCGUGCGCUGACAAUACCACGUUGCCCUGCUCAACCCACGAUGUCCUGCUCCUCACGCUGCCCUGCUCAGCCCAUGCAGCCCCGUUCCCUUUUCCCCCCUAUAAAAGAUGGGGGGAGACCUGAAGCAAGGAGGGAGAAAGAAAACGAAAAAACCGAGACCAAGAGAAAGAGAUAAGAAAAAACCGGGGGGAAGAAAAACGAACCAGAGAAAAAGGAGACUGAAACCGAAGGGAAGUUGAACGAGAGAAGAGAGAACAGAGAGAAAGGAAGGAAAGAAUACCGGGGGGGAGUUUUUGAACAAAGAGAGAAAACGAAAUAGAGAGAGGAGGGAAGAAGUCAGGGAAGUUUGAAACAGAAGGGGGAGCACAGACACACCAGUGUUGCCAAGGAUCGUCAUUUUUUAGCUCAUCAUUCUUCACACACGUUGCAACACCAUAGAAGAAAAGGAAGAAGCCUGCACCUCGGUACAAACAGAGAAAACAACGGCAAAACACCACCCGCCACCGCCGAGAAGACCCACUAUCGCAUUGCCAUCAUCAUCACCGCCAGCUGCCACUGUCUUCCCAUCCGACAACAACACCGUGAGGAACAGAAUGAGGAAGUAGAAGCAGAGGAGAACAUAGCUGAAAAAAAAAACACAGAGAAGAAAGAAAAGCCGACCAACGUCCAAGCCACUCAUUAGGCCGCCGCCACCAGCACCUCCCCGAAGCAGCUGCAGAGAGGGAAGAACAUUGUUGACAGAGGGAGCAAAGGAAAUAAAGAGAAGAACAGCGCCAAAACAGUAAGGAAGAGGAAGAGGUGCCGCAGCAACGCCACCGCCAAACCAGCCAUUGCCACUAUCAGAACCACCGUUAGCCCUCAUUGGCUUCCUCUCCACCGCCACCAGCAUCACUGUGAGUGUUCGGCGUCGUCUUCGCUCCUUUCGGUUCCACGUCCAGGUAAGCGUUUUGCGUCUCUAUGCAGGUGAUUUCCUUUGGCAUUUUCACUGUGCAAGUGAAUUAUAAUUCACUUGAACAGUGAAAUGCAAAUGUUACUGUUCAAGUGAAUUAUAAUUCACUUGAACAGUACCAUAUGUUACUAUGUGUGUCUUCUUUUGCAUGUCACUGUGCGCGGUUUCGUUUUGCAUUUUUACUGUUCAUAGUGAAUCAUAAUUCACUUGAACAGUACCAUUUGUAUAUGGUAUUAAGGAUGCACGCGUGAGCUUCCACCCAGGACACUGGCUCGGGCCAGUGACCUGGUUAGGCCUGCUGGGUCAAGCCCAGCCAUAUGGGCUGAACGGGGCCCAACCUAAAAUUUUUUAUUUAAAAAUAAAAAUUCAGCAAAAAAAAUUAUUUUAAAAAAUAAGUGAUUUUCUGCAAUUCUGUUACUGCAUUUUGAUCAAUAUCGGUUUGUAUUUUUAUACUGUAAAGAUACAGAUCCGGUAUUAAAAUACCCGGUUUUCGUAAAAAUAUCAAAGAUUUUCAGAAUAAAAAAUGUUUUUGCUUUCAAAAAAAUCCCUAAAAAUGUUGUUGAUUUUUCUGCAUAUUUUUAUUAAAGUGGAUUAAUAUUGGGUUGUAUUUUUAUACCGUAAGGAUACAAGCUCAGUAUUUAAAUACCCGAUUUUCGUCAAAGCAUAUAAAACAAAAUAAUAAUAUUUUCAAAAAAAAAAUGUUUUGUUUUAAAAUACGGCCUAGUCUCUCCAAUAUAUAUAUAUAUAAAUAUUAUAACAUCCUAUUUUCACACAACAAAGGAAAUUUUCAAAAUUAUAUAUGUAUUAGCAUGCAUUUUGGCUUUAAUAACCAGUUUAUUCAAGCCAUUAGAACUAGGCCAAUAUUUCAAAAAUUCAAAAAAAUCUUUUUGUUUCCUUUUUAGUAUUUGGGAUUACGAAUUUAUAUGUAAAACGUAUUCCUAAAUAUUAUUAAUAAAGUUUUGUUAUAGACGUUAGAACGGUUAGGAUUUUACCCGAUAAGAUAAAAGACCUUCUUACCGAGGAGGAUUUUUCUUGAACCAUAGACAGACCAACGACUAGAAGUACAAUAACACCUUAGUUUUUUUUUAUCAGACAAUAAAACAAUGCAGCUUACCUUAGGUAGGGCGUAUUUGGGGUGCUAAUACCUUCCCUUUACGCAACCAGUCCCCGUACCCAAUCUCUAAGACCAGUUAGGGUUCCUGGUGACCAAAAUACUAGGUGGCGACUCCCAUUCCAUUUUCUACCAAUAAAAGACAAUAUUUUCUUGUAUCCCCAUAGAUAUAGAUGUUCGCUUUGUAGAUUUAAGAAAAAUGGAACAACUAUAUAAUUUUCGCCGCGACGCCGCACACGUGCGACAAGUAGUUUAUGAUUAUCCAUUAGGAUUUCGUCAACAUGUCAAAAAUCUUUUUUUCAAACUUUUUUAGGAUCCAAAUGUAGACUUUAAUAUUUGUGGGGUGUAAAAUUACACGAUAAAGUACACAAUCGGGUAUUAAAGAUACAAAGUGUAAAACUAUAGACUUUAGAACGGGUAGGAUUUAGCCGAAUAGGGUAGAGGCUCUCUCAUGAAGAGAGAUCUGCCUCUCAUGAAGAGAGAUCUGCCUUGAACCUUAGAAAAGACCAACUCGACUUAGAAAAAACAAUCAAACAACAAUGCAACUUACCUUAGGCAGGGUUACUGGGGUAAUGUGUCUUCCCUUUGCACAACCAGUCCCUUAACUAGACUCUUGUAGACCAUAGGUUCCUAGUAACCAUAAUACUAGGUGGCGACUCUUAAAAAAUUUUAAUCAUAAUUUUAUGAUUAAAUCCAAAAACCUUUCCCAACACACAAAACCUCACACAGGAGGCACAACAAAGCGCCUCCGCAAUCACUAGACGACGUCGCGUCGUCAUGCCCCCGCAACAAAUGUCGCACGUGUGCGGCGGCGCGGCGAUCGUCCACCCUCAUGGAAAAAAUCGGAAAUAUUUAUUCCUUAAAAAAAAAAUGGAGAGACAAGGAAUUCUUGUCUCUACAAGUGAAAAUAUGGACUGGGAGUCGCCACCUAGUAUUCUGGUUACUAGGAACCUUAACUGGUCGUUAGAGAUCGGGUACGGAGACUGGUUGCGUAAAGAAAAGGUAUUAGCACCCGAACUACGCCCUACCUAAGGUAAGCUGCAUUGUUUUAAUGUCUGAUAAAAUCUAAGGUCGUGUUGUGGUUUUUUUAUUGUUCGGAAUACGCAUUACAUGUAAUCUCAUACCCUAGGUUCUCUUGUUCGAAAAAAAAAAAAGAAUUAAAUAUCCGGAAUAUGCAUUACGUGUAAAGUCAUACCCCGGAUACUAAGAGACAAACAAAAUAAAUUUUUUGUUGUUUUUGAAAUAUUGGUCAAUAUUCUCUUGACUUUAAUAAACUGGUUAUUAAAGCCAAAAUGCAUGCUAAAACAUUUUGUUUUGGUGUAUGAAAAAAUACAACAUAAAUUUUUAGCUUUGAGACACUUGGCCGUAUGCACAAAAACAUUUUUUUUUAAUUGUUUUUGUAUUUUGUGGAAGUUUUUGACGAAAACCGGGUAUUUAAAAAUCAGAUUUUUGUAUUUUUAACAACAUAAAAAAAAUACCACCAAAUAUUAAUCAAAAUGACAUAACAAUUACGCGGAAAAAUUAUAAAAUGCUGAAACAAAUAUUUUUUUGAUUUUUUUCUUUGAAAUGGGCCGGAUCAGGCCCAAUUAUAUGGGUUGGGCCGAACCUGGCCCAAAGAAUGGGUUGGUUACUGUGCACAUAGUAACCGGGUUACUGUGUGUACAGUAACCAGAGAAUUAAUCUGCACAGCACAGUAACUCGCUAAUUAAUCUUUCAUCUGCAUGCAGAACAGAAAAACGACGGGAAAGGCUACCUGCGGUGGUGAUGUUGGACUCUCUUCUCUGCUUCUUCUUCUUCUGCUUUCUUCUCUCCCUCCCCCCUUCUCUUCUCUUCUCCUCCAUUUAUAGCCCGUGAGCAUGUGUUUUUUUUUUUAUUCAUCGUGGGGUCAUGCGGCGGCUGGUCGGGCGUGGCUGUCCAGGCGUGCCUCCCUCAGUUUCGGCGGUGCGGUAGGCGGUCGGCCAAUGUCUUCGGUCGGUGGGCUGGAGGGACCACCGCCAUUAAAUAUACAUCUUUUUUCCUUCUUUACUGCUGUAUGUUAGGCGGGGAAGAAAGGGGAACAGUGCCGGAAUAGUAACCGGGUUACUGUGUGUACAGUAACCAGAGAAUUAAUCUACGGGUUACUGCGACCAGUACUGCGCACAUUUUUUUUUUUUUGUAUUUAUUAUUUUUUUAUGGGGACCCAAAAAUGGGUUACAACAGUUGCCCCCCUCUUUACAAUGCUUACGAAGCAAAGAUUUGUGCAUAGUUAGUGUUAUAAAGAAAAAAAACAUUGGUCUUCCGAAACUGGUCGUCUCAAAAUUUGAUUGACCUAAAACUUCAAUCGGACCCAAAGUCCUGUGUAUGGUUGGGCUAAACUGAGAUUCCUUUCGCCAAUCCCCUUUAACCCGAAAAAAAGGAAAGAAUGUGAAGUGUGGUCUCAUUGUAAUGGGUGACCUACCCAGAUAUAAAACAUGGAGAAUUGGUUGCAUUGUAAUGGGUGACCUACCCAGAAAAAUGUUGGUGAGGGCUCAAAGGCGCACUCAAAAGGAGGUAGGGUUAGAAAACGCACUACCUAAGGGAUGAGGGCUCAAAAGCGCACUUAAAAUGGAGGUGAGGGCUCAAAGGCGCACUCAAAACGGAGGUAGGGUUAGAAAACGCACUACCCAAGGGAUGAGGGCUCAAAGGCGCACUCAAAAUGGAGGUGAGGGCUCAAAGGCGCACUCAAAAGGAGGUAGGGUUAGAAAACGCACUACCAAGGGAUGAGGGCUCAAAGGCGCACUCAAAAUGGAGGUGAGGGCUCAAAGGCGCACUCAAAAGGAGGUAGGGUUAGAAAACGCACUACCAAAGGGAUGAGGGCUCAAAGGCGCACUCAAAAUGGAGGUGAGGGCUCAAAGGCGCACUCAAAGAGGUGAGGGCUCAAAGGCGCACUCAAAAGGAGGUAGGGUUAGAAAACGCACUACCAAAGGGAUGAGGGCUCAAAGGCGCACUCAAAAUGGAGGUGAGGGCUCAAAGGCGCACUCAAAAGGAGGUAGGGUUAGAAAACGCACUACCAAGGGAUGAGGGCUCAAAGGCGCACUCAAAAGGAGUGAGGGCUCAAAGGCGCACUCAGAAGGAGGUAGGGUUAGAAAACGCACUACCUAAAAGAUGAUGUUGAAACAAUGAUUGUCAAUGUUGAAAAGCAAAUGCAUUAUGAUUGAUAUGCAUGUAUACUUACCUGAGAAAUAUAGGCCCCCAUUUCUUCAUGGUGUCUUUGUUUUCUCUCAAAAGUUGUAGUGUUGGUAGUAAACUUCGAUGGCUUUUCCACUUUUGCUUACUCGGGUUACAUUUUGAUCUUGACCUCUGGGAAGGGUUUGAUGUCAUCAUACAUCUUUGUCCUUCACCCUUUAUCUCAAGAGUUACCAAUUUUGCCCGACAUUUUCCUUAGAAAAGGAAUCAUGGAGCCAGCCCUACCAUGUGUUUUGAUUGCCCCCCAGCUUGAUCAUGCCCCCCAAGUGUUCAACUUGGGUUUAGUUUGGGGUGAGGAUAUGUGAAAGUAAGUUUGGGUUUUUUGUACAAUGAAAUGUUUUCAUGCAAAAUUUUUUUUGGAACUUCCAAGUUAUUCCAAUCACAAAAAUGAUUUUGACAUUGGUUCAAAAUAAACUUGUUCUAAAAAAUUCAAGCAAUUCCUAUGGACAGGUUUCUUGAAGUGAUGAAAGCUUUUUACUUUUGGUUUAAAGAUGAAGUGACAUUUGGUUGGUCAUAAAAGGUUUAAAUUUCAAUUUGAGGGUUAUUGAGAACCGAAAUUGAUUCAAAGCAUUUAUUUUAUUUGCAUGAAUAAUGAUUUGACUCGCACGGAAAGCACUGCAUACCGAUCCAGAUUGCUUGCCUUUGAUCAGAAAGGGCUUUAUCAGGUAUGUAAUGUAGGCUUUGGCUAUUGGUUAUGAAGAAAAUGGAUAUGUUGCAGGCUCAAAAGGUGUUUAAGGGAUUUCAAGACUAAGGAUCACUUGUGCUUGUUUCCUGACCUUUUGUCUUUUGGAUUUGUUUUUUCAAAAUAGUCUUCAUGCCCCCCAGUGUCGGGUUUGGGCUUUUCUCUUUGUUUUCUUCGUUUUUGUUUGGUUGAGCACAAUCAUAUCAGUUGUUUGUAUGAGAAGCUCAAAUCUUUUAGAUCCUUUAGAUCUUCUUCUUUUCUUUUCUUAACCAAUCACUGCUUCAUUUAGAUGAUAAUGAAAGAUUAAAAAUUACAUGAUCAAAUCCAGCACCCAUCUUCACUGCUUUGUCUGGAUGGGUAAAAACUCUAUUAUUUUGCCCCCCAGUGUGGGGUGUGAUCCUAGUCAAGGUUAUUUCCAAAAAACAUUACUAGGCUCAAAAUGGGACUGCAACGGAUAUUUUUUAGCCUUGUGAAAGGAUUAUCAAAGAUGGCCUUUCCUCAUCUCAAACUCAUGCAUUGAGGAUCGAUAGGUCUUGCUUUCAUGCGCGUAUGCCAAAUGAUUUAUUCAGUCAAAUAAAACUCAGCUUUUGAGUCACCUCAUAGUGUUGUUUAUCUUUGUUGUCUUUUUUUCUUUCAAGUUUUCUAGGUAUAUGUGUACCUAUUUAAGGAAUCACUUGAAUUUUCAAAAUGCAUUUGUUUUGGACAAAUAUCAACACGAUUUUUGUUUUUUUGUACUCACUUUGGAGGUCCCAAAAAAUAUCCUUGAAAACAUAUGAGAUUAAUGUAUGGGUUUGGAAGAAAGGAAAACCAAAUGAUUCUUCAUGUUGUAGUGUUGUGAGCAAAGUUGCGCUCAAAAUGUUAUUUACAUGUAAUAACAACAAAGAAGAGUGUGAUGUGAACACAAGAAAACACAUGAUCUUAUUUCACAAGAGAAGCUCAUUAACAGAGAAAGUCUUAUUCAAAAGCAUUAACAAAAGGCAAUAACAAGGCAGGCUUCAUUCCUCUAUUUUGGCGAAUCUGUUCAUAGGCUAAACUCCUCUCAAAAGCUCUGCGUAGAGGACUCAAAGACAAUGCGGAACAACACCACGGUCAAAAAUUCAAGCUAUCAUGCUGGACCAUUGAUGCUUUCCAAUUCCCCAAACAUUCCAUCCUAAUAUGCUUCAAGCAUGAUUAGGCAGCGGGUUCGUAUUCACAUUGGGGGUGUUUCCAAUUCUAUCCACCAGCCUUGAUUAAUUGCAGAAGCUUUCUCUUGAAGGCGUUGCAGGUAUAGAUGCUAUGCCCAGUAAUACCGGCAUGGUAUUCACAAUUGAGUUCUGGCUUGUACCAAUUAGGAUAAGGUGGCUGCAGAGGUGUUAGAGGUUCUGGAGCUAUUUGCCCGAUGCUCAAUAGCUUUUGAUACAUCUCAUUCAGGGGUAACGGUAGUGGAGGUAGUUGUUCUUGAACCCUUUGGAAAUUUCCAAUUUGGCUUUUGGCUUGAAAGUUUUGGGGUUCAGGUUUUUGAUGUUGGCAAUUUGGGAUGGAGUAUGGUAAUUUUGGGAUGUAUUUUUUUACCCAUGUAGCCAUCUUCAACAUGGUGAACCUCUUUUCUUUCGACGCCUCUUUUCUCGGUUGGUGCAGAAUUCUACCACUCUUGACACCUUGCUCUAUGCGUUCACACACUAUCACAGCAUCAGUGAAUUGUUGGGCUGAACUACCCAUCAUAUGUUCGUAAUAUGGUGCUUUGAGUGUGUUGGCAAAUAAAGAGACCAUCUCUUUGUCCAGAAGUGGGGGAUGUACUUGAGCAGCUAAUUCUCGCCAUCUUUGAGCAUAUUCCCUUAUGCUUUCUUUAUCCUUUUUCUCUAUAUUGGACAAACUGGUUCUGUCGGGCGCAAUGUCCAUGUUGUAUUGUAUUGCUUGACGAAAGCAUCCACAAGAUUUUUCCAGUUGCGAAUUUUUGUGUUAUCCAAUCUCAUGUACCAACUCAAAGUUGCCCCACUUAAACUGUCUUGGAAAAAGUGCAUUAGUAGUUUUUCAUCAUGUACUACCUCAGCCAUUUUAUUGCAGUAGGACCUGAGAUGAGUCAUGGGGCAUUGUGUUCCACUGUAUUUGAUGAAUUCAGGAACACGAAAUUUCUUUGGGAUAACCACAUUUGGGACCAAACACAUCUCUGCUGCCCGUACCGGGUCAUAUAAGUCUAUCCCUUCAAUGGCUUUGAGUCUGGCUUCCAGCGCCUCUAUCUUAGCUUGAUCAAUGCUAUCAGAUGACUUAGCCUUGUGGGACUCAUUAGCAGAUGCCUUCACACUGUUGGGGAUGGUGCAGGUGUCGUUGACUGCACAAAUGUUGGAUUUUGCUGAGGUUCUUGACCAUGUUCGCUCAUUCUUUCCUCAGGCUGAACUGUAGUAGGAGCCGGAUCAAAGGUGAUCGGUUGAUUAGAAGGACCUUCAUCAGAGGUAUUUCUUAGUGUUUGCUUGAGUAAGCUAGUGAGGUGAGCCACACUUAUUUUCAGAGACUCCAACUCUCGUGCAAAUAGGCCUCACGUUGAGCACGCUCUUCAUCUUCCAUGUUUCUUGCUCGAAGUCGGGUGUUGUAGACUUUUUGGGACCUAUAUUUCAAUCUGACAUGUAUGCAUGUUAAAUGUAUGAACAUGUAAUCUAUAUGACGAACUCGCCCUUCGAGGGGUGACAUAUGGUCGCAACUCUUGUAUGAUGAAACAAGAAUCUUGAUUCUUGCACAAACUCUACAAUGAAAAUUUUCUGAGCGACGGUCAUUGUGUCACCCAUAAGUCUGGAGUUCAAGAUGCUUCAAGAAGGGCUUGCUCGGAUGCAAAACAAUGUAUACGGAGCAUACAUCCUAAAGGCAGGUUCUAAUCUUUUUAAGUGAGACAAAAGGUAGGUUUACUAUUUGGUCUCUAAAAAAGGACUCUCGUUGUCCCAGUGAUCGCCCUCGUGGAGGCAAUAUGGGGGCUUGUAGGCAGUGAGAUGGCACGUGUCCAACUAUUACCAGUCUAAGCACUCAACGAAGAGUUGGGGUUUACACAAACUUAAACCUUGACUAAAAGUCAUAAGGUAAGCUGCUAGUUCCCCCCUAACCUGAAGCUUGUGUGUGCUUUAAAAAAAAUUAACUAUGUGAUGCAUGAGAUAAAUAUGUACAAAAAUUAAAGCGCACAACUAAAUAUGAACAAAUAUAUAAAGAAAAUGCAUAUUUAAAAAUAAACACGCAAACCACAACAAUAAAACACAAUCAUCAGACAAAAACAAAGCUUAGUCCACAAAGUCCCCAGUGGAGUCGCCAUUCUGUCGCACGUGUGCGGCGGCGCGGCGAUCGUCCACCCUCAUGGAAAAAAUCGGAAAUAUUUAUUCCUUGAAAAAAUGGAGAGACAAGGAAUUCUUGUCUCUACAAGUGAAAAUAUGGACUGGGAGUCGCCACCUAGUAUUCUGGUUACUAGGAACCUUAACUGGUCUUUAGAGAUCGGGUACGGAGACUGGUUGCGUAAAGGGAAGGUAUUAGCACCCCAACUACGCCCUACCUAAGGUAAGCUGCAUUGUUUUAAUGUCUGAUAAAAUCUAAGGUCGUGUUGUGGUUUUUUAUUGUUCGGAAUACGCAUUACAUGUAAUGUCAUACCCCAGGUUCUAUUGUCCAAAAAAAAAAAGAAUUAAAUAUCCGGAAUAUGCAUUACGUGUAAAGUCAUACCCCGGAUACUAAGAGACAAACAAAAUAAAAUUUUUGUUGUUUUUGAAAUAUUGGCCAAUAUUCUCUUGACUUUAAUAAACUGGUUAUUAAAGCCAAAAUGCAUGCUAAAACAUUUUUUUUUGGUGUAUGAAAAAAUACAACAUAAAUUUUUAGCUUUGAGACACUUGCCGUAUGCAUAAAAACAUUUUUUUUUAAUUUUUUUGUAUUUUGUGGAAGUUUUUGACGAAAACCGGGUAUUUAAAAAUCAGAUUUUUGUAUUUUUAACAACAUAAAAAAAUACCACCAAAUAUUAAUCAAAAUGACAUAAAAAUUACGCGGAAAAAUUAUAAAAUACUGAAACAAAUAUUUUUUGAUUUUUUUCUUUGAAAUGGGCCGGAUCAGGCCCAAAUAUAUGGGUUGGGCCGAACCUGGCCCAAAGAAUGGGCUGGUUACUGUGCACAUAGUAACCGGGUUACUGUGUGUACAGUAACCAGAGAAUUAAUCUGCACAGCACAGUAACUCGCUAAUUAAUCUUUCAUCUGCAUGCAGAACAGAAAAACGACGGGAAAGGCUACCUGCGGUGGUGAUGUUGGACUCUCUUCUCUGCUUCUUCUUCUUCUGCUUUCUUCUCUCCCUCCCCCCUUCUCUUCUCUUCUCCUCCAUUAAUAGCCCGUGAGCAUGUGUUUUUUUUUUUUUUUCAUUGUGGGGUCAUGCAGCGGCUGGUCGGGCGUGCCUCCCUCAGUUUCGGCGGUGCGGUAGGCGGUCGGCCAAUGUCUUCGGUCGGUGGGCUAGAGGGACCGGCGGUCGGUGGGCUGGAGGGACCAAUGCCAUUAAAUAUACAUCUUUUUUCCUUCUUUACUGCUAUAUGUUAGGCGGGGAAGAAAGGGGAACAGUGCCGUUCAAAACGGCACCGUUUAGCCCUUUUCUUUUUUUUUUUUUUUUUGCAUGGGCUGGUUACUGUGCACAUAGUAACAGGGUUACUGUGUGUACAGUAACCAAAGAAUUAAUCUACGGGUUACUGCGACCAGUACUGCGCACAUUUUUAUUUUUUUUUGUAUUUAUUAUUUUUUUAUGGGGACCCAAAAAUGGGUUACAACAACAGAUACGAUCAAUAAAGUUUAGAUAUUUAAAAGCUUAAAUACUUAAUACAUUAUCAAAAUUAAUAACCACUAAGCUAAAUUAUCUUCAUCACUUCAUCAUUAACGACCAAACUGAUAUGAAGAGUCAAUACAAUCAUUUGGUGGAUCUGAUAACUUUGCAUGAUUAGCUCUAUCAUCAUCUUUCGGCAUCUGAUGUGGGGUUAGAAAAGGCUUAGGAGGCAUUCGUAGAGAUUCAACAUCUGAUUCAAGCAUCUCUACAACUUUAUGCAUAGAGGGACGAUCAACAGGCUUUAACUGUAUGCACCAUAAUGCCACAAUAAUAUCUUUUUCAUUGUUUUCUUUUCAUGUUCCAUGGCUUCUGUACUUCUAUGUCAUUUCCUUCACUAACUUGGUCAUAAACCAUGAUGGGAAGUAAAUUUGGCUUGAAUGAUUUGUGAAUGCAUUCAAGUUCUUUCUUCUCCCUACCAUUUCCAUCAAUAACAUCCCGUAACUAUAGACAUCAGCUUUAUAAGAGACACCUCCAAUAUUCUUAUAACAUAGUUCAGGAGCCAUGUAUCCCAUUGUCCCUCUAGCAGCUGUGAGGGACACAGUGUUAUUAUUUGUUGGGUACAAUUUGGCUAGUCCAAAAUCUGAAACUUUCGGAACAAACUUAUCAUUAAGAAGAAUGUUGUGCGGCUUGAUAUCAAAAUGCAAGAUUUGCAUAUCACAACCUUGAUGUAGAUAUUCAAUGCCAUGAGCUACCCCAAGAGAAAUCUCAUAUAUUUUCUCAUUGCUUAGAGGGACGCUACCUUCCUUAGAAAAAAUAUACUUUUCAAGAGACCCAUUAGGCAUGAACUCGUAUAUAAGAGCACGCUUCGAUCCCUCGACAGUAUAGCCUAUAAGUUGCACGACAUUGACGUGGUGAAUUCUUCCAAUUGUGGCAACUUCAUUGAUAAAAUCUUGUCCAUUGGCUUUUGACUUGCCCAAUUUUAACCGCUGCAAAACGACCACUACGAAGCUUUCCCUUAUAAACUGAGCCAAAGCCUCCUUCACCCAACUUGUCUUUAAAUCCGUUGGUUUUUCUUAAUCUCUGAGUAAGUGUACCUUAUCGGCAUGAGAUCAUUAUCAUGAUUUUGCAAGAAUUUUUCAAUGUCUUCAUACAUGGAUAAAUGUCGUCUUCGCCACUUAUAAAUCAGUAAAGUCAGGAGACAUGGAAGCCCACAUGGGAACAGUAGCACAUGAUAUAUCACUGUAUAGAUAUAUUACAAAAAAAAAAAAGUCAACAUUUAAAACAUAUCAAAACAUUUUACAAAUACUUCAUUGAUUUUAGUGACGAGUAUAUGUGUGAUUAAUUCUUCAAUUUCAAAAAUUGAUUGUCAUGGCUCUCAACACUCUAAUAAAUACCUCAUGAAAUUGAAAACAAAACAGUAUUCAAGCAAGUCUAUGAUACAAACAAUAAAGGGAACUAUAAAAACUUUCAAAAUAGUUUUUAUUUAUUUAUGAUAAUUGAUAGUUAUUAAUAUCAUGCUAGCCAUUUAGAAAAUGAUCAAAAACAAUAAGUGAUAGUUUUUAACUUAAAGAAAUAGUAAAUAUUUUCAAAAUACUCAUGCUCUGUGUUUGAUUAGAACAUUUUUCUUCUAAUGCAUUAAAAUCAUUAUUUAUAAUGGAAAACAAAAGUAGAAAGAAUAUUAGAUACAUUAAUUUGAUGCAAAAUAAUAUACAUUUAACCUAAAGUUAAAACUUGAAAUAGUAGGGAGUCAUCAGAAAUAUUUAAAUUUCAAGAAAUUAUUUUCUGCAACUACAUAAAUUUAAUGAAAAUAAAUAGAAGCUACUGGAUACAACCACAAUGAAAUAAGCCAUGAACAAUAAUUAUUUCUUAAGCUAUAAUUAUUGCGUGCUGAUAUACAUGUAUUAUUGUUUCACAAUGAAAAAAGUAAAAUACUUACCGAUAAGGGCAAAUGUUACAGUGGAAAAGAUUAUGAGAAAGCUUAGUAAAUUGAAGGGGUGGCCAUCCGGUAAUAACAAUUACCUGCCAAAUAAAUAAAUAAAAAUAAAUAAAUAAAUGAUGAUUGGAGUCAUUCAAUAUUAAAAGCAUUAUAACUUAUAAAAUAAUAGAAAGAUAAGAGACAAUCUAAUUGGAACGACUAUUAUAUAUUUAUCCUACUAGAUAUUUAUUUCAUUUAGAUCUUCUAAUUAGAUUAAAUUAUUUUAAAAGGGUUGUAUUUUAUCAAAAUUUAAGAGUUUAGUGACCGCAAAAAACUUAUUGCUAUGGGUACGUGAUUGAAACUUGGAUUGAAAAAAAAACAAAAACUUUUUAGGGUCUUUUAUUUAUUUUAUUAAAAAAUAAAUAUUAGUACUCUUUCUGUAAAAUGAUAUAAUUACAUAAAAUAAAUUAGCUCACCCCCGAAAUUAAUUCGACAAAAUAUCCAGCGGAUACCUAUAUAUAAUCACCCAGAGAAUAUGAAUCAGCGUGCAAAAUCUUGAUGAUUAAUUAAAAACAAAAACCUCAUUUGCGAAAAAAAUGCGGAAAGUAAAUGUAUCGUUUUGUAGAACAUGCAUAUAAGACCGUAAUAGUCCUCACCUUCUAAAAAAAGUUCUACCAGCGACCAUACGGCUGCAUUUCAAGAAAAAAGAAAAGGUCAACACUAGUAUUGAUAUUUACAAACUUAAAAUUUUAACUGAAGUGAAGAACAUUUAUUAAAAUAUAAAAUAAACCCUUAACACAUAAACGGAAACCAAGCAAUAUUGGAGCAUAAUCAUAAUACAGUACGUACGGUGUGCUUCUGUGUAAAAGCAAUAGUUCUUCACGGUGGCUUCAUCAAGGUUGCAGCGGUUCUCUGUGCUAUAAAAACAACAGAAAGAGAACCAUGAAAGCUCGAACCCAUACACCAAAAUAUCAUGGACAUCUGUAUACGACUUAUUUCUCAUAUUUUUUGGCACAGAAUAAAUCAGAUUUAUACGGCACAAGUCAGGUACAUCCUGGACGUUCCCAUCAACCAUGACAUAGGAAUGACCUUCCAUAUCGACAAAGCUAGACGAAGAAGAAUUAUAUGCAGUACCACUGCCAUUUUUGCAAGAAGAGGCAUCCAUAAUAUAACCUGGAGGAUUCAGCAUUUGAUUCUUGCAGCAUAAAAAAGUUAACACAGAAAUGUCUGGCCAAUUUCUAUCAUAAUAAUAAUUGCCGUCCGCAGAGCGGAGCCCCCUUCUGCUGUAAGAGAAUGAUGAGGGAGGGAGAAGCAAUCAUCCUUCUGAACAGCAGCAUCCACAAGUCGAAUUGUGAAGUCACUGUAAUUGAUUGACUGGACAUAAUACUUUACCUUGUCCAAGUAUAAAGUUGCACGUACGUUGUUUUCACAAGCAAGUUCAUGACUUUUUUCGCCACAGCUCUCGGGAUCGGUAAUUAGUCGAAAAGGGUAGCUAAUAUUACGGAUAUUGCCACAAGAAGAAGGAGCGCAGUAAUUGCUGGUGUUCUUUGUAGCACUGCAACUAUGGUGGGAGGAUAGGAUCACUAGAAAAGGGAGGGCUGCAUAUGCACCGAAGAGGUGCCUUAAUUCUCUACUGAACAUUGAGAGAGAAACUUUCUUUGGGAA